This 54495-nucleotide long non-coding RNA is filed under the name Triticum aestivum (bread wheat). RNAcentral describes it as "long non-coding RNA (TAES_LNC016512)". The record is from RNAcentral. Lineage: Eukaryota; Viridiplantae; Streptophyta; Magnoliopsida; Poales; Poaceae.
UCGUCUUCUCCUCCUGGUGCGGGGAAUCCCAUGAAUACUUUUAGCUUCUUCUUCAGGUCAUCAUUCUUCUCCAAUAGUGUUGCAAUCUCCUCCUCGUAUCCAUCGCGUGUAUUCUUGAGUUCUUCUUCCAGCUCCAUGAUCUUGGCCAUUGCCUUCUUCAGAUCUAUCAUGCUUGCGCACAUCUGGUUCUCCUAGCGUUGAAUGUGCUGGUUUAACUCCUGGAUGAAAGCUACAAUUGAUCUAUCCUUCCUAGUGCUGAUCAUCUCCCAUUGCUCAUGUCGGUGCCCACAAAUCUGGUAGAUAGUAUCCUUGAGAUCCUUGUGGUAAACUUCUCCAAUGCGUCCCAUGGUGAUGUGGGCUACCAUGCUCUUUCCUAGACUCCAGUUUGGUGCAUCAAAGGAAAACUCUAUGGGCUCAGUGACUGGCAUGAACGUCCUUCCUGGAACUUGAAAUUGAAUCAUCCAAUGCUCUUCUUCUGGUAAAGUGGCGAUGUAGGUUUCGGUGAAGCUUGGUACUCCGAUGUUUAGGUAUCUAGUGACUUCCUUCAAGUGGUGUCCAAAAGGUGUAUCUUCAUCCGGUUGCGUGAACUUGUUCCUUGCAUCCGCCAUCCUAAAAGAGUAGAAAAGGAGAGGAGUCCGAAAUGAGAAGAGAAUAGUGAUCUAGGGCUUUAGCUUAGUGGUCGUGUCCUAUAGUCAGCGUGUGCUCUGAUACCAUCUUGUAGCGACCAGACCUCAAAGAGUCUGAUCUCUGUGCAUCAGUGUCAUCCCUGGAUCGGUAAUGCUGACACGCACAAUACUUGAAGGAUUUAUAACAAAGUAGCAAUCACACACUUAUUACAUCGAAUGUCUCAAAAGAGAACGUAUUACAAUAAAUAUGGCUUAAGGCCAUCUAAUAACGAUAACAGCGGAAGGCUUGGAAGAUAAAGUGAGUCCAUCAACUCCAACGGCAUCACUGAGUAUAAGACCAUGACCUACGGCACCUUACUCGUCGUCUGAAAAGCCUGCAACAUGAACGUUGCAGCCCGAAAACGGGUCAGCACAUGGAAUAUGCUGGCAAUGUAACACAUAGAGAGAAAUGAACAGAAAAAUGAUAUCACUACAUGCAUAUAUAGCUGGUGGAAAGCUCUAUGGUUACGGUUUUGCAUAAAGCCAAUUUUUUCCUACAACAAAGGAAUAAAUUUUAUUUAACUAUCUUGGUGGUUGUUAAACAUUGAGAAGGUUCACCCAACUCAAUCCCAAUUAAGCAUAAACAUUAAACCCAAAAAAUUAAAUUAAGUAACAUGAUAAGAUUUACAUGAUAAUCCAAGUACUAGAUACUCAAAACGUCCUUAACCAGGGACACGGCUAACCAUGAUUAGUUUAUACACUCUGCAGAGGUUUGCACAUUUUUCCCCGCAAGACUCGAUCUUCUCCGUUGGAAUUCUCGCACUACAUGGUGUUUGAGAAACGGAUGACCGAGACACAGUCUUUCAGAAGCGUUAGCACCUUACGAUGGGUAGACAGUUACACCUACUUUCCCCUACAUCUAUUAGUCUACCACUAUAAGAGUUCACACGAUUUAAUAAACUCUGCUAGAGCCCAGAGUAGCUUGCGGCUGCACACGGAAGUUUCUAGCAUGAAUAAUCUCAUGAUCCCUUUGAGCCUGUGUGGCGGUCCAUAGGAAAAUCACACGGUACCCCGGGAUUUCCAAAAAUACAGGCAACACUGGGUUCCCCAGGUGCCUCAAUCCACCCAGAUGUGUAUUAAAGUUGCCACCUUAAGUUGAACCAUUAAUUAACAAACUCACAUCUGUCAUGGAUAAACUCACUUAGUCCACGUCUACUAGCAUAGCAUAGCAAUAUAAGCAAACGUAGAAGUAAUUCCCAAGGGUUUGGUAAUAAACAGGGCAAUAGGUUCUACCUCAUCAACUACUUCCCAACACCCACAUGUUAAUCAGAUCCUAACCAUGCAAUUGUUUGAGGAUUGAUCUAAUGCAAUAAAACUGGGUAGUAAAGAGGUAUGAUCAAAGUGAUACUUGCCUUGCUGAUGAUCCGUGAAACCUAGAGACUCGUAGUAGCAUGUUGCGCACUCCGGGUACUCUUUCGCAAACAAACAAGCAUACAAUAAGCACUCAUCUAAUGCACAGGUAAAACUCAAAUAAGAGAUCUAACCAAAAAGUUCAACUUAAGAACUCCGGUUUGCAAAAAGAAUCAAAUCAAACGAAGCAACGAAACUCAAACGGCGAAAGAAAGAAGCUUCAUUUACUAAUAUGGACCUAAGUCAAAUUUUAUAGUAACAAAAACUUGUUUGAGUUGGUUAAACAGAAAGAGGGUUUUGAGACGAAACUCUAGGCGCUUGAAUCACCUGAUUCCGAUAAACGAGCGAAAAGUUAUACUAGAACGACAAUCGGAUCAGAAAUCGCGAUCGAAAAUAAUCGUGAAAAACCUGAGAAAAAGAAAAACGGACGAACGUUCGCUGUCUCGGGUUUAAUGGUGGAAACCGUUCGUUAAAACGAACGAACGAACGAGUGUUCGCUAAGUAACUAAACCAAGAAAAACUGACAAACAUCUCUAAAAAACGGAUCUAGGGUUUUAAAAAACCGAACGGUUUUAUAAAAAAACCCGGCGGCGACUACCUCGGGUUUGGCAUGGAUUCCGGCGAGGUAGGCGAGGUGGCGGCGCGGCGCGGGACGGCGGCGGUGGAGGGGUCGGCGGCAUCGCGGGGCGAUGAGGCGGCAGCAGCGCGGGGCGGCGGCAGCUAGGGUUAGGGUUUGGGGCGUGGGUGGGCUUCGGCGGCGGUGUGGGCUUUCGGGAAGGGGGGCCUGGCUUAUAAAGCCCCCCCCCCCCCGGGCGGAGUCCUGCUCGGGUACGGCCCGGAGUCGGUUUGACUUUUUUUUAAUAAUUACAACAUGCAGAAAAAGAAAGAAAAGAAAUACUAAACGGGCUCCAAAAAUCCCGAAUUAAAUUUUCCCCGUCCUCUAAAAAUAAGCCGGACAAGAUGAACAUUUAUUUGGGCCUAAAAUGCAAUUUUGAAAAAUGCGUAUUUUUCCUAAUUCAAAUAAAAUAGUGAUAAAACUCCGAAAUAAAAUCUUGUUUGAUUUUAAUAUUAAAUCUUCAAUAUUUCUUUAUUUUUGGGAAAGUCAUUUUAUUCCCUCUCUUUUAUUUUUAUAAAAGAAAUAUGUGAAGAUCAAAUAAUUAAAAUCAAAUGAUCCUAUUUUCAAAAUUUGAGAAAACUCAAGUAUGAAAAUAACGAAAUUCCCAACUCUCUCCGUGGGUCCUUGAGUUGCGUAGAAUUUCUAGGAUCAAGCCAAAAUGCAAUAAAAUAUGAUAUGCAAUGACGAUCUAUGUAUAACAUUCCAAAUUGAAAAUUUUGGGAUGUUACAAACCUACCCCCCCCCCUUAAGAUGAAUCUCGCCCUCGAGAUUCGGGUUGGCUAGAAAAUAGGUGAGGGUGGUCCUUCAGUAGGUCUUCCUCUCGCUCCCAGGUGGCUUCAUCCUUGGUAUGGUGGCUCCACUUAACUUUGCAAAACUUGAUAACCUUGCUGCGUGUGACUCAGCUGGCAAACUCAAGAAUUUUGACUGGUUUCUCCUCAUAGGUCAAAUCACUAUCCAACUGAAUCGCUUCCAAUGGCACUGUAUCUCUCAGAGGUAUAUCGGCCAUCUCUGCGUGGCACUUAUUCAACUGGGAAACAUGGAACACAUCAUGAACUCCUAACAAUCCUUCAGGCAACUCUAGCUUGUAAGCAACUUCUCCCAUACGCUCCAAAACUUUGUAUUGUCCCACAAAACAUGGUGCUAACUUUCCCUUAACUCCAAAACGCUUAACUCCUCAAAGUGGGGACACACGAAGAUAAACUCUAUCUCCGACUUUGUAAACUGUCUCCUUACAUUUAGAAUCUGCAUAGCUCUUCUGCCUAGACUGGGCUACCUAGAGCCUAUCACGAAUCAACUUAACCUUCUCUUCAGACUCUUUAAUCAAAUCCGGUCCAAACAGCUAAUGGUCUCCAACUUCAUCCCACAACAAUGGUGUCCUGCACCUCCUUUCGUACAAGGCUUCGAAAGGGGCCAUCUUCAAACUGGAUUGAUAAUUGUUGUUGUAAGAGAAUUCUGCAUAUGGCAAAUUGUCGUCCCAACUAGAUCCAUAAUCUAGCGCACAAGCUCUCAACAUUUCCUCCAGAAUCUGUUGUUGUAAGAGAACUCUGCAUUUGGGAUGUUACAAACCUACCCCCGUUCCAGAACGUGCCUACACUUCUAGCAUUCAUUUUCUGAGAGAGAACUACCUACUCAUGUGUUGAGACCAAGACAUUCCAAUCCAACCACAAGAAUCUUGAUCUCUAGCCUUCCCCAAGUUGCUUUCCACUCAAAUCAUCUUUUCAUCAUAGCCAAAUCUGUGAGAGAGAGUUGAGUGUUGGGCAGACUAUCAUUUGAAGAACAAGAGCAAGGAGUUCAUCAUCAACACACCAUCUAUUACCUUUUGGAGAGUGGUGUCUCCUAGAUUAGUUAGGUGUCACUUGGGAGCCUCCGUCAAGAUUGUGGAGUUGAACCAAGGAGUUUGUAAGGGCAAGGGGAUCACCUACUUCGUGAAGAUCUAACCAAGUGAGACAAGUCCUUCGUGGGCGAUGGACAUGGUGGGAUAGACAAGGUUGGUUCUUCGUGGACCCUUCAUGGGUGGAGCCCUCCAUGGACUCGCGCAGUCGUUACCCUUCGUGGGUUGAAGUCUCCAUCAACGUGGAUGUACGAUAGCACCACCUAUCGGAACCACGGCAAAAAUCUCCGUGUCUACAUUGCGUUUGCUCCCUCCAAAUUCAUCCCCUUUUACCUUCAUAUGCAAUGAUUUACAUUUCGCUGCUAUACUCUUAGAAUUGCAUGUGUAGGUUGAUUGCUUGACUAGUGUUAAGUUGCUAAAAUCUGUCAAGACUUAAAAUUGGGAAAUGGCUAGAUUUUUAUUUGGUCAAGUAGUCUAAUCACCCCCCUCUAGACAUACUUUUGAUCGUACACUCUCUUUGAUCUUCUAUACAAUGUUCUCCUCGAUGUUCUUGGAUUUCUAUUUGAUGUAAUCACUUUUUAUGGUGUGUUUGUUGGGAUCCGAUGAAUUCUGAGUUAAUGAUCAGAUUAUCCAUGAAUAUUAUUUGAGUUUUCUCUGAACUCUUGUUUUCAUGAUUAUUAUAGCUUCAUAUUUCUCUCUGAUAUAUUGAUUUGGUUUGGCCAAGUAGAUUGAUUUAUCUUGCAAUGGGACAGGUGCUUUGUAAUGGGUUCGAUCUUGCGGUUCUCAAUCCCAGUGACAGAAGGGGACAUGGCAUUCAUUGUAUAGUUGCUAUUAAUGAUAAAAAGAUGGAGUUUAUUCAUGCGUGAGUUUACUUUGUCUACAUCAUGUCAUCUUGCUUAAGGUGUUACUCUACAUGCAUGUUGGAUAGCGAUCGAUUUGUGGGGUAAUAGUAGUAGAUGCAGGCAGGAGUCAGUCUACUUCUCUCAGACGUGAUGCCUAUAUACAUGAUCAUUGCCUUGGAUAUCGUCAUGAUUAUUCGCUUUUUUAUCAAUUUCCUAAUAAUAAUUUGUUUACCCACUGUAUGCUAUCUUCAUGAUAGAAUCCUCUAGUGAAAACUAUGGCCCCCAGGUCUACCUUUAUCAUAUAUUAAAAUCCAAAAAAUAUCUUGCUGCACUUUUUUAUAUAUUUAUUUUAUUUUGUAUUUUUAUUUAUUGAUCUACGACUAGGAAAUUUGAUCUUGAAAAUAACCGCCGAGGGAUUGACAACCCCUUGUUCGAGUUGGGUGCAAGUAUUUGUUAUUUUGUGUGGAGGUGAUGGCAUCGAGGUGUUGCUUGGUUCUCCUACUGGAUUGAUAACCUUGGUUCUUAACCGAGGGAAAUACUUAUCUCUACUGUACUACAUCAUGAUCUCCUCUGCGGGGAAAUCCCAACACAGCUCACAAGUAGCAGGAAGAAUUUCUGGCGCCGUUGCCGGGGAGACAUCAUCAACGUCUAUCAAGUACCUACGCAUAAAAUCACAUCUUCUUGCAUUUACAUUAUUUGCCUUUUGCCUCUCGUUUUCAUCUCCCCCACUCCCAAAAACUUUUCACAAAAAUAUUUUAUGUUUACCUUUUUCUUGUUUGCUUCUUUGUUUGAUUGUUAUCUUGUUUGCCUAGUCAUGAUGUCUCGAGAAAAUCAUGAUACCUCUUAUCAUAAAAUUUCAGCCCAAAUGUUAAAAAAUACCAAAGAUUACAUGUCUACGCAAUUUGAGCACAACAAUUUUUUUUACUAAAGAACUUAAAGAACACUCUACCUUGUUGGACGCUAUUGCAAAACAACUCAAUGAUGUUAGUGAAGAAGUUGCUACUCUUAAAUCUCAAUUUUCUCUUACUGAAAAAUUUCUAGGGAAAAUUUCUGAUGAGCAAGCUAUGCUAGUAAAUCGAAUGGCAGCUAAGCUGGAAUCGUAUGCACUUAGUAAUGAUGAAGAUGUUAAAAUGAUUAGUGUUUCUUCCAUUUACUCCUUGUUUAGUAAUGUUAAAAUUUAUGAUAAGGGGACUGAAGAAGAGUCAACUUUAGCUAUAAGGUGUCCCAUGGUUCGGAGGGUGAUAAUCUUGAUGAAAAAAUUGAUAAAAGUGGGUUUGGAGAGGUCAAAAUUUUAAAUAGUGAUGUGCCCACUCUUUUGGAUUACAAAGACUUCAAUUAUGAUAGUCUUUCUUUGAUUGAGUGUAUUUAUUUGUUGCAAUCCAUGCUUAAUUCACCCAAUGCUUAUGAACAAAAUAAGGUUCUUACUAAACUUAUUGUAGAAGUGAUGAUGAAAGCUUUAGAAGAAAAGCUAGAACUAGAAAAUUCAAUUCCUAGAAAAUUAUAUGAUGAGUGGGAACCCACCAUUAAAGUCAAGAAUAAAAAUUAUGAGUGCAAUGCUUUACGUGAUUUGGGUGGUAGCGUUUCCACAAUACCAAAAUCUCUAUGUGAUGUGCUAGGUUGUCACAUCCCUAGCUUCUGGUUUGCUCUGAGCUAGCUAGUCAUGUGUUGCAUCAUGUUUAAAUUUCAGUUAAACCUGAAAUGGGGAUUGUUUAAACCCUAGCACCAAAUGAAUUCAAAUAGGCUCAAAUAAAAUCAUUUUCAAUAAACCCAAAAUGCCUUUGAAAAUGUUCAUGAUUUCUGAUAAAGGUGAAAACCUCUGCCAAAAAUGAUGAACAUAUUUAUAGGUCAUUUCUGGAUUUUUGAAUUAACUCAUAUUGUAUUUGAAUUGGGUCAUUUAAAUCUUAUAAAUAUUUUAAAUGCUCUAAUAAUUCUGAAACUAGUUGGGGCUGUUGGAAAUAAUUUUCACAGUGCCACAAAUAUUUUCAGGAUUUUUAAUAAUGCUCUGGCAUUUUUAGUAAAGCCAAAACAAUUGCAGAAAAUAGAAAAUGGAAUUAAAAGAUAGUGAGAAAAACUGACUGGCGCUUACCUCUAGCCCAUACGGUGCCUCAGCUGGCCCAGCACUGUGUGGCCCACUAGCCCACAGUGCCAGUCACCCUCCUCCUUGCGCCAGAAGGACGCCGGCGUGUCGCCCAUGUGCGCACUCUCGGCCACCUCCUGCUUCCACCUCCUCCUGCCUCCCUGCCCGCUUCUCGACCCCCUGGAGACGCCACGCAGCCCCCCUGGCCCCCUCUCACUCUCUCCCAUGCCUUCUCCCCUCCUCUGCUCUCUCUCCCUCUCGCAACCGAGCGCUACCGUCGACGCCGUUCACCACCACCGCGCCCACCGCCGUCGCAUCUCUCCCCUGAGCUAUCUAGAAGAACCGCCUCGGUCCCCUCGUCCUCUCCACCGAGCUGUACGACGCCGGAGGCCCUAGAACAUCGCCAUCACUGUCGUCAUCAACCUCUGCCCCGACGAUCGCCGCCGUCAAAUUCGUCGCCGUCCGGCCUCCCCCGAGCCCACCGAGAAUCUCUUCGUGACCGUGGUGAGCCCCCGGUCAUAUUCUCCCUAACCCCGCUACCGUUUGGUCGCCGUAGCCGUUGUCCCCUUGCUUACCGUAGCCGCCGCCACACGGGCUCGUCGCCGGCGAAGCCCCAGUGACCUUUUGGUCCCACGCGUGUGUCCGUUGCACUCGCAACGUCCCGUAGAGCAAAACUAGUGCGACAACCGUCUCGUUUGCACACUGCAGUGCCGGUCCCGUGAACCCCCGAGCUCCGGCCGCCGCUCGGCUCGACGCCGUCAUUGUUCUCGGCCACCCCAGCUCCAACCACUAUCACCAUUGGAUGCGCCACACCACCAGCUACCCGUAGCACCCACCCGCGCAUCGAACCGUGCUCGGGGAAGCGUUUCCGACGCUCUCUGUCGUCUCAGCCUCGCCGGCGGCUCAACGCCGGCAGGUUUGACCUGCUGACCAAGUUGACCCCGGGUGGGCCCAGUUUGACCCUGCUGGGUCCAUGACAAAUGGGACCCGCCUGCUAAUUAAGUUAGGAUUAGGACUAACUAAAAUUAGUUAGACUAAUAACACUGACAUGCGGGACCCAUGGUCAGUUUGACCUGGACCGCCCAGUUGACCUGCUGACAUCAUAGUGAUGUCAUGCUGAUGCAGUAAUUCUUCUGGAAUUUAAAUAAAUCUUAAAUGGUUUAUUUAUUUCAGAAAAUGUUAUAAACUUCUAAAAUUCAUAUAAAUUCAACCGUAACUCAGAAUGAAAUAAUUUAUAUAUGAAAAAUUAUCAGAAAAAUCCAAUCUAUCCAUCUGUAUCAUUUUCAUGCAUGUUAGAACAACUUAUGGCUGCUGUUUAGGACAAAUCAUAUAAAUGGCAUUUGAAUUUCACAUAUGGAGUUUGGAUUUGAACUUAGGGUUCAAACCAACUUCAUUUAACUUUGUUGCUAGCUGCAUUAGCUCAAAACACCAGCAUGUUGCCAUGUCAUGAUCAUGCAUCAUAAUGUGCAUUGCAUUGAUUGUGUUUCUUCUCUGUUGCCGGUAAUUGUUCCCUCUCAGUAGACGUGGUUCCGACGAUGAGAUCGAUGACACCGAUGAAGAGCUAUACUAUCUUCAGAAGUGCCAGGCAAGCAAAAACCCCUUGUUCAUUCCGAUACAAUCCCACUCUCUCGCUCCUGCUCUCUUUUACUGCAUUAGGACAACAAUGAUUCAACUGUUACAUGCUGCGGUAGUUGAACCCCUUUCCUCUGCAUGACCUGUCAUUGCCAUAGUAAAUAGAUGAAACCCACUAGCAUGAGUAGGAGUUGUUUGAGCCCUGAUGUGCCUACUCAUUAAUGCUUGUUUGUCAUGCCUGCUACUGCUUAGAGUUGACUCAGGUAUGAUUCAUCGGGGAUGAAUCAGAGGUGUGUGAACAUGUCCUACUGUGCAUGAGCUAAGUGUGUGAACACGAUUUGGUAAAGGUAGCGGUGAGAGGCCAUGUAGGAGUACAUGGUGGGUUGUCUCAUUGCAGCCGUCCUUAGGAACUGAGUUUUGUGUUUGUGAUCCAUGAUUCAGCUACUACCAUGCAUUGGGCCCUGAAAUAUGACCCCGCUCGACUUCUUAAUCACCCUUGUCCUCGGUCCAGGAGUUGCAAGUAGUUUCUGGUGUUUGUAGUAUGCUGGAGGCCGUGGGCAGCGCUGACCCGAGGGGUGGGUUGUGAUCCGGUAGGCACGUGGCCGGGUAUUACCGGGCACCCGUUUGGUGUCACGGAACCCUGUACACAUCGUUCGGGGCCGUAUGUGGAAACCUCGGCCGGACUCCCUGCGGAUGGAACCUGAAUAGGCGAUAAACCUGGACUAGAGACUUGAGUGUUUAGGUAGGUCGUGGUCUACACCCACGUCGAAUUUCGCUUGAAGUCUGCCGAGCACAUGUUGUGUGCAGACGCUAAGUGGUGUAAACAUGUAUGAAGAAGUACACCCCUGCGGGGUUAACAUCAUCUAUUCGAAUAGCCGUGUCCGUGGUAAAGGACUUCUGGGUUGCCUAUAUCAGUUCAUAGACAAGUGGAAGUGGAUACUUUAAAAUGCGCAAGAUAAGCAUGAGUGCUAUGGAUGGCGUUCUCGUAGGGAGACGGGAGCGGAUCCAUAGUGGUGUAUUGAUAUGGUGAAUAUGUGGACUCGUGUGCGCCACCUCAAAAGAGUUACUUGCAAUCAUAGUUUAGGAUAGCCACUGAGUCAAAGCUGGCUUGCUGCAGUUAAACCCCACCAUCCCCUUUGUUGAUAAUGAUGCAUAUGUAGUUAGUUCUGAUGUAAGUCUUGUUGGGUACAUUUGUACUCACGUUUGCCUAUUUUACGUUUUUGCAGAGACAUCCGUCUCACUAGUAGUUCCGCGUGGACUUCGACGUUUAGCUUGUUACCUCAGCUACGAUCUUGUGCCUCGGCGGGAUCUGGUAGACAGUCGGGAUUCUCAGCCUUUUUCAUUUGUAGUUGUCUGUACUCAGACAUGUUAAGCUUCCGCAUGUGUUUGACUUGUAUGCUCUGAAUGUUGGGUCGUGAGACCCAUGUUUGUAAUAUCUCGCUCCUCGGAGCCUAUUGAAUAAAAUACUUGAGUUGUAGAUUCAUGUUGUGAUGCCAUGUUGUAUUUGCACAUAUCAAGCAUAUUGUGUGUAUGUUAUUGAAAUGCUUGGUAUGUGUGGGAUCUGACUAUGUAGUUGUUUAUCCUUGGUAGUCUCUCUUACCAGGAAAUGUCUCCUAGUGCUUCCACUGAGCAUUGGUAGCUUGCUACUGCUCCGGAACACUUAGGCUGGCCGGCAUGUGUCCUUCUUCGUUCCUGUGUCUGUCCCUUCGGGGAAAUGUCACGCGGUGUCUAUAGGAGUCCUGUUAGCCUGCUACAGCCCGGUUUACCGGAGUCCUGCUAGCCCAGUUGCUACAGCCCGGAUUCACUCGCUGAUGACCGACACGUUCGAUGCUGGGUCAUGGAUGCAUGUCCCUAUAGGUCUGUGCCACUUUGGGUUUACGACUAGCCAUGUCAGCCCGGGCUCCUUAUCAUAUGGAUGCUAGCGACACUAUCAUAUACGUGUGCCAAAAGGCGCAAACGGUUCCAGGCAAAGGUAAGGCGACACCCGUGGGAAUACCGUGCAUGAGGCCGCAAAGUGAUAUGAGGUAUUACAUGCUAGAUCGAUGUGGUAUUGAGUCGGGGUCCUGACAUAGGUUUUACCAAUAUGGAUGAAUGUUGUCUUAAUUUGCACUUAGCGGAUUCUCUAUCAAGAAACCUUUGGGUAGAAUAAAUGAUGUUCUUAUUCUUGCAAAUAGAAAUUAUGUACCCAUUGAUUUUAUAAUACUUGAUAUGAAUGCAAUCCGUCUUGUCCCAAUAUACUUGGUAGACCGUUCUUACAAACCAUAGGUGUUGUUAUUGACAUGAAAGAAGGGAAUAUAAAACUUCAGUACAUUAAAGAAGGGUAUGUAACACUUCUGUAGAAAGAGAACUAAGCCACCAUAUGAAUCAAUAAUGAGGGCCACCUAUGGAACUAAAACCAUGGAUGGCAACACUUGAAACUGUGCAUUGCACCUAGCUAGGGGCAUAAAACAAUUGCGCUAGUUGGGAGGCAACCCAACAGUUAUCUUAAUUUUCUUGUUUCCUUUUCUGGGGUUUUUGUGCACAUAAUUAUUUUGUUGUUAUGGUUGUGUUUUUGUGUUUUAAAGUAGUAUUUGUUCCAAGUAAAGCCUUUGGGAUGAUUUGGAGGAUAGUUGAUUUGAUUCUAUGAAAAAACACAACCUUUUACGCCUAGUAGCAUAAUUGUUUAAAUUCAGUGGAACGUGCUUUUGAUCUGAAUUUUUUCAGAUGAUUGAUAUACAACUUCCCAAUGUUUUCCUAAUUUUUGAGAAUUUGUAGAGUUACAGAAGUGAGAACAAUUCAGGUUUCUACGGUUGUUAUGUUUCUGAUAAAUUCUAUUUUUGAUGUAUUGUUUUGCUUGUUUUGAUGGAACUAUGGAUUGUACCGGGCAGUAUAAGCCAUGGAGAAGUUAGAAUACAGUAGUUAUAAUGUAAAAAUAAAAUAUGAAUGUCUUUGCAAUAGUACUUAAAGUAGUGAUUUGUUUUAUUACACUAACGGAUCUCAUGAAGGUUUUGUUGAGUUGUGUGUGCUGAAGUUUUCAAGUUUUGAGUGAGAUCACGAUGGAUGAAGGAAUAAGGAGUGGCAAGAGCCUAAGCUAGGGGAUGCCCGAGGCACCCCAAGGUAAUAUUCAAGGACUCCUAAGCAACUAACCUUGGGGGUGCCUCGGAAGGUAUCCUCUCUUUCUUCUAUCGACCAUCGAUAAUAUUACUUGGUGCUAUAUUUUUAUUCAUCUCAUAAUAUGAGUUUUGCUUGGAGCGUCAUGUAUUAUAUGAUUCUUUGCUUUGUUUGCUUUGUAGUUUAUCCAUAGGUCUCUCCAACAAAGAUUAUUGUGGAAAACUAAAAAGCAAACAAAGCAAAGACUCAUAUAAUACACGACACUCCAAGCAAACUCAUAUCAUGUGAUGAAUAAAAAUAUAGCUCCAAGUAAUUUACCGAUGGUUGGUAGACAAAAGAGGGGAUGUCUUCCGGGGCAUCCCCUAGCUUAGAUGCUUGGGUCUCCUCGAAUAUUACCUUGGUGCCUUGGUAAUCCCCAAUCUUAGGGUCUUUCCACUCUCAAUUCCUUCAUCCAUCGCGAUCUCUGUUAAAACAUGAAAACUCCGUAACGCAAAACUCAACAGAAACCUUCAUGAGAUCCGUUAGUAUAACAACCAAAUCACGAACUUUAGGUACUAUUAUGAACCCAUUCAUAUUUUAUUGUUGCGUAAUAACUACUAUAUUCAAAGUUCUCCAUGACUUAUACCCCCUCCCCCCCGGUACAAGAUACAAUCCAUAGAUUCAUCAAAACAAGCAAACUAUGCAACGAAAACAGAAUUUGUCUAAAACAGAACAGUUGUAGUCAUCUGAAUAAUAACUAUACUACUAUAACUCCAAAAAUUCUGAAAAAUUAGGACAAUGUCAGCAAUUUGUAUAUCAAUCAUUUGUAAAAAAAAUCAGAUCAAAAACACAUUCCAUUGAAUUUAAACAGUUCCGAACUAGGCACGAAAGUUUCCAUUUUUUCACAGAAUUGAAUGAACUAUCAACUAAAUCAUCCCAAAGGCUUUACUUGGCACAAACACUAAUUAAACAACAAAAACACAACAAUAAAAGUAGCAUAAUUGUGUGCACACUCAAAAAAAUUUAAAAGAAACAAGAAAAAUAAAGAUAACUAUUGGGUUGCCUCCCUACAAGCGCCAUUGUUUUACGCCCCUAGCUAGGCGUAAUGCAUAGUUUCAAGUGUUGUCAUCUUUAGUUUUCACAUCUUGAGAUGUGUUCUCAUCCAGAGGUUUUUCAAAGACAAUGUGGAACACAUCACACAUCAUCAAUCUAAAUUUUAGCUUUGUUAAGGCAACUUUCCUCAAAUCCUUGUUGGUUCCCCUUUAUCAUCCAAGAAUAUUGUUGAUUAAUACCAUUGAAAACGUGUUGAAUAAUAUGCAAGGGGGGGCUUCCUUUUAGUAUUUUCAUCAAAAGUAUGAUUAGCCCGGAAUAAAUGCCUCAACAUAUAAUAUUCAUUAUAUAAAAUAUCAUCUAUCAUAGGAUGUUCAUGACUCAUAUUAUAGAAAUCAAAGAUCUCUCUAGCCACUCGCACUAUGUAUUCAAAUUCAUUUAUGAGGAUAAGAGUAGCUAUCUUUUUAGCCUUGGGGUUGUUUAUGAUAGGCAACUCAUUGGAAUGAGUAUGAAUAUAUCUUCUCUAAAGCUUAAGAAGAAGUGCAUAAAUAGCUUUGGCGUAACUAUUGGUUCUUUUCAGAAUAGGAACAUCGCUGCAAACUAAUGCUCCCGUACAAGUGAAAAAUUGCUGAAUAGUUGUUUUCCCUAUGAUGUUCUCACAAAAAAUAGAAUCCAAAUUUGAGGGAAUUUCUACCUUAGGCAUUUUACCCUCUUCACCUUAUUUGAUAACAAAUUAAGGCAUGGUGACAAUUUGAAGCAAACAAGCAAAAAGACAAAUGAAUUUUUUUGUGUUAUUUGUAAAACUGUUUUAGAAGUGGGGGAGAUGAAAACAAGAGGCAAACGACAAAUGAAAGUAAAUACAAGUAUAUGAUAGUUUGUGUGCACGUACUUGAUAGGUUUUGGUGAUGUCUCCCCGUCAAUGGCGUCAGAAAUUCUUCCUGCUACUUGUGAGUUGCGUUGGGAUUUCCCCAAAGAGGAGAGGAUGAUGUAAUACAGUAGAGAUAAGUAUGUCCCUCGAUUAAGAACCAAGAUUAUCUAUCUAGUAGGAGAACGACGCAAAACCUCGUUAGCAGCAUCUGCACACACAAAAACAAAUACUUGCACCCAACGCAAACAAAGGUGUUGUCAAUCCCCUCGGCGGUUAAUUGCAAGGAUCAUAGCUCGUAGUGAUAGAUAGAUAGAUUAAAAUAUCAAAUAAAAUAAUGGUAAAUAAAUUGCAGUAAGGUAUUUUUCGAUUUGAUAUAUGAUAAAAGUAGACCCGGGGGCCAUAGUUUUCACUAGAGGCUUCUCUCUCGAAUAAAAAGCAUACAGUUGGUGAACAAAUUACUCUUGGGCAAUUGAUAGAAAAGCGCAUAGUUAUGAUGAUAUUCAAGGCAAUGAUCAUGUAUAUAGGCAUCACGUCCGAGACAAGUAGACCGACUCCUGCCUGCAUCUAUUAAUAUUACUCCACCCAUCAACCGUUAGCCAGCAUGCGUCUAGAGUAUUAAGUUAGAAAACCGGAGUAACACCUUAAGCAAGAUGACAUGAUGUAGACAAAGUAAAUCCAACAAAUAUGAAUAAAACCCGUCGUUUCCCCCUUAAUGGCAACAAUACAAAUAGGUGUCUUGUCCCCUUCUAUCAUUGGGAUAUAGAGCACUGCAAGAUUGAACGCAUUACAAAUCACCUCUCCAUUUGCAAGAUAAAUCAAUCUAGUUGGCCAAACCAAACCGAUAGAUCGGAAGAAAUACAAAUCUAUAAUAAUCAUGCAUAAAAUAAUUCAGAAAAUACUCAAAUAUUUCUCAUGAAUAAUCUGAUCAUAAACCCACAAUUCAUCAGAUCCCAACAAACACACCACAAAAGUAGAUUACAUCAAAUAGAUUUCCAAGAACAUUGAGGAGAACACUGUAUUGAAGAUCAAAGAGAGAGAAGAAGCCAUCUAACUACUAGCUAUGGACCCAUAGGUCUAUGGUAAACUACUCACACAUCAUCGGAAGGGAAGCAAGGUUGAUAUAUAAGCCCUUCGUGAUCGAUUCCCCCGUUGACAGAGUGCCGGAAAAGGCCUCUAGAUGGGAUCGCGGAAGAACAAACACUUGCGGGGGCAGAAUUUUUUCUCAAUGGCUCUUUGUUGGUUUCCUGGUUUUAGAGAAUUUAUAGAGGCGGAAUUAGGUCGGAGGGAGCAUCGAGGGACCCACAAGGUAUCAGGGUGCCUCCCUAGAGCGCGCCCUAGUGCCUUGUUGUCUACUCCUUUGCCUUCUUGCCUCCUCCCGAAGCUUCUAGGGUCUCUCUUGUCCAGAAAAUUGUGAAAAAAAAUCAUAGCGUUUGGAAUUCGUUUGGUACUGAUUUCCUGGAAAACCAAAAACAAGCAAAAAAUGACAACUGGCACUUGGCACUGGGUUAAUAGGUUAGUCCCAGAAAAACAUAUAUAAUUCAUAUAGAACAUCCAAGAUUGAUAUUAUAAUAAUGUGGAACAGUAAAAAAUUAUAGAUACGUUGGAACAUAUCAGGAUUCGAAAAAUUCAACAAGUGUAGGUUUCUGGUUUUGCGCUUUACACUUGUACCUCAAACAGGAUAUGAUGAACGUUAUUCCCAUUUACUUAUGAAAAAAUAUGAUAAUUUGCAAGUACGAAGCUUGAGUGCUUACCCAACUAUGAUAAGCUGCAAUAUAGCUUCGAGAGCCAGUUUUGUGGGGGAGGUUUACAACACUUCGGUUUGCUUUAUUCUUGGCACAUAUCUCCUAUGGAUUGAAGCAUAAAAGUUCAAUCUCUUAGAUUAAGCACAAAUUACCUGGUAGCGCUCAUGUUUCCGCUCUUUUACUAGAUCUAUAUAGUCAUUAUCUAUAAUAGUCAUUGGCUUCAACAACAAUGCUUGCUCGUCUGUAACAUUUUUAGCCUCACUUAAAAUUUCGCCUUGAGUCGGUGCUUGUGUGACCACAUGCUUUUCUGAAUGAUAUGAUCAGCCACUGCUCUGGCCAAUUUAGCGUUGCGUGGAAACUCAAACCUUUGCUACGGAUAUCAUACACACAUGCAUGUUAGAACAUUUAGAGCGGGAAGAUAAAAAGAUGUGGCAUGGCACAAUUGCAAAACGGGUUCAUUUCAUGUUGACCUUGAAGUCGUCAAAAAAUUCAGGAAGCAAAUGUCGGUUCCCUAGUACAUUGUACUCCUUCCGCUUGGUUUUUAUGGGCAUCUUAGUUCUGACUUGAUAGCCAACCUCCGAACUAAAUUUUGUUGUUGUAGAGGGUUAAUAGGCAUGUUUGCUCCCUCCAUGAAGUCCUUCACAGAGGGAAGAAAGGGUUUGCAGAGGUGCUAGAGCUCGAAGCUUAAAAUAGAGAUAAAUAUAAUUUUGGGAGGUAUGGCUUUCCUGUCAAUGUCACGAUGGAGAGUUUUCAAUGUCUUCCAUGCGAAAGAAAUUAGCGGCAGUUCCCAAGCGGUAAAGUAAAGUAUACCCCCCCCCCCUCCACCAAUAUGACAAGCCAUGGCUAGCCGAAUCCUCGGGUGCCCUCCAUGCCAACAACUUUUUGGAGGAGUUUGUUUCAUUUUUUUGCGAUUUGAUCGUGGGACUGGGCAUCCUAAUUACCAGCCCCUCUUGUGUAAGGACAAGUGAAUAAACAGCCGCCAUGAGAAUAAUCCGCUUAGCAUGGAAGAUACUAACCGUCCCCCUGUCGCUCCAUGAGCAGUACAGCCACACAAAAUAGAUGUUCAUUUGAAUGUUUAGAGUUGGCAUAUGCAAAUUUACUUGGAAUGGCAGAGUAAUACCACAUAUAGGUAGAUAUAGUGGACUCAUCUGGAACACCUUUGGUUUAGGGAUUUAAAUGCACAAGUAGUAUUCCCGCUUAGUACAGGUGAAGGCUAGCAAAUAGAUUGAGAAGUGACCAACCAGAGAGCGAAAACGAUCAUAAACAUGCAUUGAGAAUAAUUACUAUUGAAUACGAGCAUGAGUAGGAUAUCAAACACCAUGAACAUAAAUAUCAUGGAGGCUAUGUUGGUUUUGAAUCAACUAUAUGAAGGAAAUAUGCCCUAGAGGCAAUAAUAAAGUUGUUAUUUUAUAUUUCCUUAUUCAUUAUAAAUGUUUAUUAUUCAUGCUAGAAUUAUAUUAACUGGAAACUUGAUACAUGUGUGGAUACAUAGACAAAACUACGUGUCCCUAGUAUGCCUCUACUAGACUAGCUCGUUGAUCAAAAGAUGGUUAAGUUUCCUAGCCAUGGACAUGAGUUGUCAUUUGCACUACAAAAAAUACACUUCCGUGAUGAUACGUGUUUGUCACAGUAGGUCGCGUUUUUUGUCAUACAUGUACAUCCAUGACGAUUUUAUGACAGAAUCAAGAUAGUCAUACAUGUGAUGUCGUAGAAGUGUUCCAUGACAUUAACAAAAUUAUCAUCACGGAAUUGUCCACUUCCAUGACGGUAAAUCGCGCAUCACAGAAGUGCUUUCGUCAAGGGUGACCGACACGUGGCAUCCACCAUAACGGAACACCUUUAAGCUAUCGGGUCGGGUUUUGGAUCCGAUAACCCGUUAACAGCCCCGACCAAUGGGGAUUUUCCACGUGUAAAAUCAUCAUUGGCUGGAGGAAACACGUGCCGGCUCAUUGCUGGGACAGAUGUUAUCCACUCAUUGGACAGAAGGCGCCUAUGAUACAUCGACACGUGGCACAGCCCAACAGAGGCCCGUUCCUGUGAAAAGGCCGGCCCGUUUGACUUGGUCAAAAGGUGGCGGGCCGGCCCAUGGAAAGCCUGUUAAUGGCAUGUUCGCAUAUAGCCCAUUUACAGACCGCUAACCCAAGGCCCGUUACGCCCUAUUCGAAUUAGGCCCAGUAGCGUCAUCUGGGCCAUCCAAUAUGAUUCUAGCCCAUUUUCACUUCUGGCUCAUGUAUGGCCCAUGACGUCUUUUGGCCCAUAUGAGGCCCUAUGUAACUCUUGGCCUAUUAACGGCCCAUGGUGAAACUGGCCCGUAACGAACAAUGUAUCACUUUACACCCAUUAACGGCCCGUGGUGAAACUGGCCCGUAAAGAAAAGUGUAUCACUUUAUACCCAUUAACAACCCGUUAUUCCGUUGGGCCGUUUCCAGACCAUGUUAUCUUUCGGCCUUCUCAGAGCCCAUUUAUUCUUGGGCUCAUUUCCAACAUUCAUUUACUUACGGCCAGUUACUGUCAUUUUCUGCUUGUGGGCCAAAUUCAGCUCAUGGUUACAGUCGGCCCGUUUGUGGUCCGUUAAUACGUUGGGCCAUUUUCAUAGCAUUGUCAAAUACGGCAUAUUAACGAUGGCCCAUUAUGGUCGGCCCAUGAACGGACGAUUCCAACUCUAGCCCGUUUACGGCCAGAAUGCGGUCUGUUUGGCCCAUGUUUGGCCAAUCGAUCAUACGGCCCGUAUAAGGCCCAUUGAUGAUACGACCCGUAGAAGGCCCAUUGUUUCUACGGCCCGUAGAAGGCCCAUUGUUUCUACGGCCCGUAGAAGGCCCACUGUUUCUACGGCCCGUAGAAGGCCCACUGUUUCUAUGGCCCGUAGAAGGCCCACUGUUUCUACGGCCCAUAGGAGGCCCAGUGUCACUACAGUAAAUAUUAGCCCAUGGUUAUUGUGGCCUAGUUUUAAAAAAUAGGUUAUUGCAGCCACUAGCAAACCGCGGAAAAAACGGCACUUACUACAAGCAAACAAAUAAACAAGACAACAAGGAAAUAAAUAAGCAAGCAACUUACACUAGGCUAUCACGGCUAUUACACACAUCACAUCCACUGGGCAUCAAAGUUCACCACCAGUGCAAAUAUAGGGAACAAAGCAGCAUAUAAACGCCGCAGCAAAACAAGUCCAGAACUGAAACCACUUCAGAAGAGCUCAAGAAACAAUAUCCUGGGUACCGAUAAUGCUGGCAAGAUGGUUAGCAAGCUUAUUAACUUUCUCUUGUUUGGCGCUUAAAUCCUCCAGCACUUGUUGUUGCGCAAGAAAGUACGCAUCUGAAUUCUGCAGGGACUUCCUCAGUCCUUCGGCUUCUUGCCGCAGCACAGCUGACUGAUGCCUUUCAGCUUGUAGCUGAGACUGAAGAAGCCGAAGUGAUUCAGGCAGCAAGUUCGAAGAGCUUGUGCCAGCGGUACUGGCCAGUAACUCAAACACUACAUCAACGCAGGACUAUGGGGUUUUCUCACUGUCUACAAGAUCGUUUUUAUCACCUUUCUUGGAGACCAACAGGGUUUUCUCACUAUCUUGAACCUUAUCUGCAUUACUUCCUUUACCGUUGCAUAACAGGGUACUCUUCUCCAAUAUUUUAUCCGCGUUCUAAAAGAGAAACAAACAAACACAUCUCAAGUUUACAAUGUAGUAUAUGAUACUCAUUUUGGUAAACCAGUUCAGUAGUAAGAUGGAUAGGAUAACAGCAUGAAACAAACAUAUAUCUAUGUAUUAUGGUCAUUCUAUGGUCUAUAUCAUUCUAGUUUAUGUUGCCAAAUCAAGAUAGAUACAGUUCGAAUCAUAUCUAUUUAAGACAAAGCAGCAUAGACAGAAUAUAAGUGUGGGAAACUACACAACAAUAACAACACUUGUAAUGUGCAUGGCAUGAGAACAUAAUUGUUUAUUCAAUUGAAACUAAAAUCAACAUAGAGCAAGUUACAACAGCAAACAGCCAAACACGUUAAAGAAACAGGUUUAAUACAUACCUGUUGCACCAUUGGAGUUUCAAUUGCAUCUUUCAAAUUUGAAAUUAGUUGGUAUCAGUAAAUACAGUGAUGCAAGAGCAAAGUAGUAUGAACCAUAGCUACGGAACCUGACCUGAGAACAAUUCUUCUUUUGCUUUAAGCAUUGACUUCAGGUUCGGAGUGGUGGUCCUCGUGAUUUGGGCACUGCAGUUGCCUUACUAACUGCUCGUGUUUGGGUGCUCUGUGGUGGAGACGGUGUUGUGUCAACAGGAACUGGGUGUCUAUCUGAUGGGGUUGGGGUUAGAAGGGGUGUAGCUGGUUCUCUGUCCAGUUGGGUAGGGGUACAAUCUGCAUGAGUGUGGGUUAUGUGUGGUGGGGCUAGUUCUUGGGCAAGUACAACCAUGGUUCUAUCUGCAUCGACAGGUAGCACGAUCUUUUCUGAAGACCGUGUUUUUACUCCCACAGAUACUGCCAUUACUCCCUCCAAUUGAAAUGGCUGAUAAACAAGAAAAGUAAUUGAAUGUACAGACAUUGUAAUAUAGACAGGUGCAAUGGAUAGUAGGGAAGAAAAUAGGGCAUGAAAUAAUUCACAUUUAUGUUGUCUAAGAAACAGAAUAGCAGGACAUAAUUUCACAUAUAUGAUGGCUAAUUAAACAGGAUAGCAUGACACAAUUUCACAUGUAUGAUGGCUAACUAAACAGGAUAGAAUGACAUACUUCAAAAUAUGAUGAAUAUGUAAACAGGAUGACAUGAUAUAACUAUACGAUAUGUCUAUUAAAGCGCUUGGCAUGCCAUAAAUCACAAAUAUGCCAUCGAUGGAAACAUGACGGCAUGAUAUAAUUCACGGAUAGAAUGACAUAAUUUAAAAUAUGAUGACUAUGUAAACAGGAUGAGAUGAUAUAACUAUAUUAUGUCUUUAGAAAAUGGGUUGGCAUGCCAUAAUUCAGAUACAUGUUGUCUAUGUAAACAUCAUGGCAUGACAUAAUUCAAAUAUAUGAUUUAUAUACUAAGGAAGUGAGCAGAGGGCAAUCGCAUAUAUGAUGUGUCAACUAAGGAGAUGGCAUUCAAUAUUGUGUAUAUGAUGUAAAAACUAAGCAUUGCAAUACAACAUAUGCAUUAUAUGAGUAAUAUAACCCUGCCAAGUUUGAGCAUACACCUCAGGGGGAUAAUAGGACUGGUCAUCUGCCUCUGAAUCCUCCUCUAAAGAGCUAUCUAUAACCAGCAAGAUAUCUGCUUCAGCAGGUAGCAUUGUGUGCUCUAAAGACCUUGUUUUCACUCCAGAUUUCUCCAUCACCAAUUCAAAUGGCUGAUGCACAGGAAGAGCAGUUGAAUAUACAAACAUUGUCAACAAAAGCAAUUAGAAAUACAAAAAAAAGGACGGCAUGAUAUAAUUCACAUAUAUGACGCUUGCCUAAACAGCAUGGCAUUGCAUAAUUCACAUACAUAAUGCCUUGCAACAAGAUAACAUUGCAUAAUUCACAUAUAUAAUGUCUUGCAACAAGAUGGCAUUGCAUAAUUCACAUAUAUGGUAAUUAGACACUAAACAGGUGGCAUUCACACAAAGCAUGUCUAAACUAAGCAAAUGACACAGCAAUGCAAGAUACCAUACGCAUGAUAUGAGCAACAUAACCCUGCCAAGUUAGGGCAUGCACCUCGGGGGGGGGGUAUGAUUGGUCAUCUGUCUCUGAAUCCUCCUCUAAGGAGCUAUCGGUAACCAACAAGACAUGCGCUUCAUCAGAUAGCAUUGUCUGCUCUGAAGACCUUGUUUCCACUCCAGAUUUUUCCAUGCCCAUGUUGAAUGGCGGAUGCACAGGAAGAGUAAUUGAAUGUACUAAAAUUGUUGACAAAUUUAACAUGUAAUAAAAAAAUGAUGGCAUGAUAUAAUUCACAUAUAAGAUGACUGGCUAACCAGGGUGGCAUUGCAAAAUUCACAUAUAUGAUGCCUGGCUAGACAAGAUGGCAUUGCAUGAUUCACAUAUACGAUAAAGAAACUAAACAGAUGGCAUUGACACAAAGCAUGUCUAAACUAAGCAGACGACAUCUUUAAUGUAUACAGUAAGCAAUGCAAUGCACCAUAUGUAUGAUAUUACCAACAUCAGCAUGCCAAGUUAGAGCGAAGACCUCAUGGGGUAAAUAGGAGUGGUCUUCUCCUUCUGAAUCCCCCUCAGAAUAGUUAUCUUCCUCUUGAUUACGAUCCGAAAUGGGUGGAGGGGGGGCUGCCUUUACACCCACCAUGGAACGACGUCUGCAUGAAAUUUUAUUGCCAUGCAAGGCUCGUCCCUUUUGCUCUACAUGAUCAGUUCCAUUGUGUACAAUAACUGGCAUGCAUAGGAAUAAAACAUAGUGAGAUUAUGUAAGGAGUGCAUGCACAAAUCCAGAGUGAUGGUAGCAAACUGUGGAUAGACCCAAAACCAAUGAUAGCAGGCAGAUAAUAGCUUUAGUUAAAAAAUACAGAUAAUGGCUCCUUUAAUGUUUGUUUGCACCCAACAUGAAACUCAUAGUAGACACCGGAGAUUAACCAGAUAGUAGACAGAUAGUACUGAUUGCUGCCCCAAUAUGUACCCCACAACCAUUUAAAAACUCAAGUUUCAGCAUUAGUUUGGACCUGACUCGGAGUCUACUAGGUGAACAUGACGAUAUUGUAGCAUGUCAUCAUAUUAAGCGACGCAUAACGUAAGCAGACACGGAAGAGUGCGACCUCUCUUGCGGAACUGUGUAGUCCUCAAGGUCAUCUGUUUGUUGAUGAUGGUAAUGCAGUUGUCGUGGCUGCCGGCGGCGGGGAAGAAGAUCUGAGGUGGCGAAAGACAGUCUGGAGAGCGGAUCCCUGCUGCGGUGAACCCUUCCGUCGUUGGAGCAGCUGAGCUGGGGUUGAACACAGCGCCGCAGGAGCAGGACAAACCACACAAGGUUUUCUUUGACACAUAUCUGUAACAGAAGUAAUUGAGUAAGGGCUUGUUUGAAUUUGAGGAUUCUAACAAUGCAGGGAUAGGAAAUAGACAGGAAUAGGAUAGGAAUGCACGUGCAAAACAGAGAAUUUGAAAACACAGGAUUUCUGCCAAUCUGGGUGUUUGAUUCACAACAAUUGGAAGAUCACAGGAUGCAAAAAAGCAUGGUGAGAUUAAGUCAAACCACAAGAAAAUGUAUGGUUAUAAUGCUAUUAUGCUACUAUCUCUUAGUCUUGUGCUUGAUGAAUAGGAAUAUGAAAAGGAGGAGAAGUGGAAAUUAGAAUUCCUACUGUUUUUGUUUCAAGGAGACACUAACGGAACAGAUCCUACAGUUUUCCUUUGCUCCAUUCCUUUGCACCAAAUUCAUGAAAAGUAGUACCAUAGGAAACUUUCCAAUUCCUAUGUUUUUCAUUCACUUUUCCUUUCAAGCACUGACGAUUCUAGUAGGCAGGCUUGAGCAAGGAAAAUCCUACACUAAAAAAGUGUUUUUGUGCUACUUCUAUUACUUUGGACCCAGGCCACUGACAUACUAGCUCAACUCCCAGGCCCAUCGACAAAUGUACAACUCAAACGCGCAGAGAUAAAUAAUUAUGGCGUUCAAGAGAGUCCAUCAUGGAUAGCUAUGUUGCCUGGUACCUCACUGCUUGUCAUAUAGUAGGAAAAAAUAAUUGUAUUUCCCGUUACUACGAGUGCUCAGUGGACAAUAUAUAUAACAUGUAGAGUAAAAAAGAGAUGCAACAAGUGUACAACCUCUUUGGCGAAGCCAUGUCGAUCUCAGCGUGAUUGGGUUGGCCGGUGAGGAUGCUCCGGCUGACUUGGCUGUCGGAGGAGGGGAAGAAGAUCUUAGGUGUCUAGAGAUGGAGCCCGAGGUACUACUCCACUGUGAUGGAGGGUUUCAUCGUUGGAGCGGCUCCGGUGAGUUGUACGACGCCGAGGCUGAAGCAGGACAAGAGAGAUAACGAACAACAUUAACCUGAGUGGAAUUCUAAUAGCAUCUCCAAUACAUGACGUAAAAUACAUAACCACAAAGUGCUAGAUGUAAAAUACAUCAGCCGCUCAUCUCUGAACUUAACUGUCAAAACUGAACUUAACUGUCGAAACUGAACUUAACUAUCGAAACUGAACUUAAUUGUCGAAACUGAAUUUUGCUGUCGAAACUGAAUUUUGCUGUCAAAAAUGAACGCACUAGCAAGGUGAGGCUACACGUUGGUUGACUGACUUUUUCAUCUCUGGUUAGUCGAUUUUGCAGCCGUUGGAUACAAAAUCAAGGGCAUGCGGUUCAUCUUCAACCUCCACCCCCCUGAGCCGCCAGCCACCAACGGCCAAACAGCAGCCCCCCGCCGCCCGCGGCCGACGGUGCGCCACCCCGCCCGCCCCGAAAACACUCCCCACCGCCGGNNNNNNNNNNNNNNNNNNNNNNNNNNNNNNNNNNNNNNNNNNNNNNNNNNNNNNNNNNNNNNNNNNNNNNNNNNNNNNNNNNNNNNNNNNNNNNNNNNNNNNNNNNNNNNNNNNNNNNNNNNNNNNNNNNNNNNNNNNNNNNNNNNNNNNNNNNNNNNNNNNNNNNNNNNNNNNNNNNNNNNNNNNNNNNNNNNNNNNNNNNNNNNNNNNNNNNNNNNNNNNNNNNNNNNNNNNNNNNNNNNNNNNNNNNNNNNNNNNNNNNNNNNNNNNNNNNNNNNNNNNNNNNNNNNNNNNNNNNNNNNNNNNNNNNNNCGCUGCAGCUGGUUCUUCCUUCACCCCGGUGAGCCCCCCCCCCUGAAAAUCGAUUGACCCAAAAGUCGACUCAGUCGACUGAAGUGUAGCUAAAUUGGAGAAGCAUCACAAGCAAGAGCAAGAGCGAGAGCAGCAGCGCGAGCAAGAGCAAUAGCAAUAGCAAGAGCAUACCAGGCAGGGGACCGAGAGCAAGAGCAGAGCAGCAGCGCGAGCAAGAGCUAAAGCAGCAGCUCCUACUGAUGUGGACGUCGCCGCCGAGGGAGCGACACCAUGGAGGAAGUGGCCGGCGAUGCCGCCGUGGAUGGAGCCGCGCCGUGUCGGCUCGGGACCGAGCGCCGGCAGCACCGUGAGAUCGAAUCAAGAAGAAAAUGUGGAAAUUAGUGUACAACCUCUUUGGUGGCGCCGAUUAGGCCGCAGCUUCAUCCGAGGAAACGGCGAUGAUGAUGCCCUUCCGGUGCAGCAGGUGAAGACGGCGAUGUGGGAAUGGAGGUGGCGCGAAAGACAAGGGGAGCGUCAGGGCAGCUCCUUGGAGGUGGAGGACGGGGUGGCUGAACCGGUGGGACCAUGAGAUCGACGAGGGAUCCUCAUCCGGUAUGGUGGAUGAGGGACGUCGAGGUGUUGCUAUGGACGACAUCGUCGGGGAAGAGGCUCCGGCUGGGUGGCGGACGGAUCAGGGUGUGGGGCUUCAUCGCGGGUUUUCGCGGCCUCGGUGUAUGAAUGGGUGGGCAGAUGGGAUGGCAGUGGGGAACCAUGUCUUAGGGACGCGCUUGUGCGAAAUGUAGGGUAAGUUACGAAAGUACCCCCACCGAUUUGAGGCGCUUCUUUCGGUUCAGGGGUACCACGGGCAUUUUGCGUUUUGGGAUUUCACAUGAGGUGGGAGUUUUCGCGCGCGUUGUAAUUUCGGAAUAGCAAGGCGCGGGUUGAGAUGGAGGGAGUUGUCGGAGCACGACGAGACAAAGAUAUAUCUUAAAUAUUUCGGGCUAACAAGGCGCGGGUUGAAGAGGCGAGAGUUUCGCAGCAUGAUAGACAGAGACGCUAGCUUGAAUUUUCGGCAUAGCAAGGCGCGACUUGGAAUUUCGGAAGAACAAGCUUAACGUGUACCCAAAAAAGACAAUUUGCACCUCAACAUGCACAACACACCCACAAAAACACCAUUUAGACUAGAGUAAGGUACAUGUGCAUUGCACGCAUGAGAUUUGGCAACCAAAUUAUGAAUAAAUACCACAUUAUAGCAUGUAAGCUUUGAGUCAUAUAUGCAUGAUGUAGAUGUUCGUUUAAUUCUUAUAGUUCAUUUCAUUCAAAAUCAUCUAGUUUUUAUAAGAAAGCUAAUCUAUUUUAAGAUUCAUGGAAUUGUGCGUUGUAAGACAUAAAGUAAAAACAAAUAAUGGCAAAUCAUGUAGAAAAACAUUUGGGCAAUUCUGAUACGGAAGAUUCUAGAACAAAUAAGAAGUGCUUGUGUUUUGAUGUUUGUGCAUUAGGCUUAAGUUCAACCAUGGAGUCUUCUAGAUUAUACAUGUGGCGAAAUCUGGUGGAAUCUAGAUGAUAUCCAACGGCAAGUAGUGCUCAAAUUUGCCAUCUUUGGACCAUCGGAUUCGCCUCAUCCAACGACCAUCUUUCAAAGUUAAAGUAACCCGCACACAAUAAAAAAAUGUAAAAUAUAAUAUAUAUAUAUAUAGGGGUAUAGAUAUAGAUAUGUGAUGCGAAAGCCUCCCAUCAUCUCCAAUUAGAAUAGUGUGUCCAUGCACGGAUGCAACGUAGCCAAAUAAUGUCUGCCAUCGGUAUCUCAAAUUCAAAUCAGUCCGACCUUGUUCAAUGUGUAUACAUUACAACAUGCUCGUUUCCAAAUCACAGCGCGCAGAUCUCCGUUAUAUUCAUGCAUGCAUGGGUUUCAAACAUCAGGAUCUCUUAUUCAAAUAUUUGAAUUCAACUUUACAUUGAUUGUGACCUCACCUAGUCUUUUACACCCACACAGUUGUCUUCUCUUUAUAAUUGUACCACUAACUUUCUCUCGUGCAUGCAUGCACACACACUACCAGUCGGCAUUAUCCAUCGUGCACAUGCAAUCUUUUUCUUCAGGUCGGUCUCCCAUGAAGUCUCACACCCACACACAUCCCCCUCUCCAUCAUAUCGGGCAUUCUUUAUCUCUCACGCGUGCAUGCGCAACGAUCGAUGUUCCUCUAUGUAUGUGUGUAUAUAGCUAGGUCUUUCAUAGUUUUCCACACAAAUCGUUCAAUCGAUAUAUCCAGUGAGGUCUCACCCUCUUUCCCACGUCCACAUCGAUCAAUCUAUACCUCUCUAUAUAGGACUAACAUAUAUAGCUAAUACACCCACAUUAAUUAUAUAUCCAACGUCCCCCUCUCAUCAUCCAUGCCUUCCGCUUCAUUUCUCAGACGCGUGCACAAUGGCGAAGACAGGUGGAGUAAGGGCCCUGCCCCCCCCCCCUAACAUCACUAUAUAUCGAGGCUAAUAUGAAUGUGAUCAAUAGGCAAUUGCUGCUAAAAAUGGUUUAAGUUCAUGAAUUGACCCUCCUCGUAAAGGAUUAGCAAUGCUUGGCCCCCUAGCUCAUUUAUUUUUCAUGGCUCCACCACUACGUGCAACAGCGCACGUUCUCGCCCCCUCUCUCUAAAUAUCGAUCUCGCACUUGUGCAUUCCUUCAUAGUCUCCCUCCACUCGGCCCCUCGCACCAUCUUCUAGCCCCCCACCGGAUUUUGCUACAUGUACAAUCUAGCAGACUCCAUGGUUAAACUUAAGCAUAAUGCACAAACCUCAAAACAAUAGUGGUUCUCUUUUGUUCUAGAAUCUUCCGUAUCAUAACUGCCCAAACUUUUAUUCUAGUUGAAUUGCCAUUAUUUGUUUUUACUUUAUGCUUUACAACGCACAAUUCCAUGAAUCAUAAAAUAGAUUAAGGGCUUCUUUGAUUCAAAGGAUUCUCAAAGGAAUUUUGGAGGAUUCUAAUCAUUAGGAAUUUUUCCUAUCUUGGUUGUUUGAUUCGUAGGAUUGUAAAUCAUAGGAAAUUUUCGAUAAAAUUCAUUUGCACUAGAUUUCAUAGGAAACAUCCCAUCCACUCAAACCUCUUUGAAAGAAUUCUGCGUUUUUUCUAUGCACAAUCAAACACUCAUACAAUCCUAUAGGAUUCAAGAUGACAUUCCACUAUAAUCCCAUGUUUUUCCUAUUCCCGCGUUCUUAGCUUUUUUAUAAAAACUAAUUGAUUUUGAAUGAGAUGAAUUAUAAAAAUUAAACGAAGGGCUACAUCAGGCAUAUAUGACUCAGAGCUUACAUGCUAUAGUGUGGUAUUUAUUCAUAAUUUGGUUGCAAAAUCUGAUGCGUGCAAUGCACGUGUACCUUACUAGUACUUCGAGUAUGUGCAAAACACGCAAAUUAGAAUACCAAUGGCACGCUACACAGUGUCUCUUUUACAGUUCAUGAAGCCACAUGGCACAUGUGGAGGCGUUGUCGCGACCUCCUUGUGUGGAUUGAUCAUACUGACGUGCUGCUGGUUCCAGAAGAAUGUACUCGUGCUCCCUGAGCCAUACUGGCGGUACAUGCAUGAAGCGAAGAUGUGCACGCACGCACUCAUUCCCUCGCAUGCACACGUGGGUACACGGGCGGACGCAAUUUUGUACCAAGAUCCACCCCAUGUGAUAAUUUGACAUGUGUAAAGUCGUUCACUUCAUUGAUGGUCAAUUAAUACAGCGCAUGCAAAUUGAGUGGACAUGAGGGCGGAAGAAAGACAUUAUUACUCCACUGCGCGCAUGCGAGUAGUUAAAUCGUGGGUUGCUAGUAGUACUUCCAUUGGUCUCCUUCGUAUUUUGUGCCAAUUUUUGACUGUAACAUAAUACUCCCUCCGUUCCUAAAUGUAAGUCUUUGUAGAGAUUUCACUGUAAACCGCAUACGGAUGUAUAUAGAUGCAUUUUAAGUCUAGAUUCAUUUAUUUUGCUCCGUAUGUAGUCCACCUAGUGGAUCUCUACAAAGACUUAUAUUUAAGAACGGAGGAAGUAUUUACGCAUUUGAGUAGUGUAGUACUUGAAAUUUAUGUUCCGCUAAACUCAUUGGGAGCCGUUUCGGGCCUCGAAACCAAAACCAUCAAUUAACCUUUACCUUGUUCCCAUCACAUUCGAAAGCCUGCUCACACCUACUAGUACGUACCAAACCUGAACGUGUUCCCACUAUGCAGGUAUUAGUACUAGUGCUAGUACUUAGGUUAUAAAAAGGGGAACUACCUAACCAAAAAUUACUCUACCUUUCCUCCUCAUAAGUGCUUCUUCUUUGUUCGUCGUUGCCAUGGCUGGUGAGCAGAGCUCUAGGUCGAGAACUACUCGUAACAAGGGAGCGACAACCAAGGCUGCAGAAAAAAAAAGAGGGCUUGCUGCCACGCAGAGACCUUGAAAGAUCUCUCACAGGCAGGCGAUGGCUCCCAGGAGCACCCUAGCCGCGGAGGCGAACAUGCCGAGCCGGCGGAGCUGGAGUCGUUAUCCCUUGACGGCAUGCCCGAUCAGCUCAAGAAGCACCUCAAUAAGCAGAAGGAGUGCAUCCAAGGCUUGAUGGAGUUGUUGAAUGAGAGCCUCGACGACAUGCCCGCUGAGCUCAAUCAGCAGGGGGAGUUGACCGCCGGCUUGGUGAUGCUGCUGAAGAAGAGCAUUGCCUUGGAGAAGAAGGCGACCGGAAAAAUCCUGCGACUUCAGGAGGACAAGGCGAAGCUCUACCACGAGAUCGACCUAUUGAAGGAGAAGAACGCCGGCUGGAAGAAGCUGCAUGAGAAUAGUAGUUCUUCGAUGAAGAUGCUGCAGGCCCUCAUCAUGGAACAGAAGGAGGAGUUGGCAAAGCUCCGCAUCGAGCACCCGGCUGCUGUCAAGGUACGUAAUGCGGCCGUGGAAUAGAUGAUGAAGGCUCGUGUCGAGAAAUCCCGCGUCAUGGACAGAAUGAAGAAGAUGGCGGAGGAGACGCGCAAGGAAAUGGACGUCGUGGAGGCGAUGAAGAAGCAGUUACGACUACGCGGCAAAUUAGAUCAUUUGGGGUGAUAAUCUUCCUUCUUCUUUUGCUCCUGUGUUUCAUCUUUUGCUUCGGGUGUUUCACCGCACGUGUCACGUUCUCUGCGAGGCAUGAAUAGAAUAAUAGUUUUUUAGGGAAUGAAUAGAACAAUGCUAACAAUGAGAUGACUAGAAAAUUAGAUCAUUUUUAUCGCCAUAUGGCACUGGGCUGCCGUGUUUCGUGCUCCUCCGUUGCAGUACUACUCCAGUGGAAAACUUGAGUAUACCGCAUGGUUCUUUGCUCCUCCUCAGGUUGUCGGCGCAUUUAUACGAGCAGUCAAAUCACAAGGCCCCGCCUUCCAGCAGUAAUGAGCCGUCAAAUCCCAAAGGCCCUUGCCUCUCGUGAAACCGACCAAGCUAGACUGCCCCGCCCUCUAGCCUUUUAAAAAAUGUAUACUUUUGUACAACAGUAGUAUCGAUGGAUUGCGCCAUGGAGCAAAACUUGAAAUAAAAAAAAGGUGGUACAUAUAGAGAGCGCUCGUCGCCAAAUUAUGCAUAUAGUACUAUUAAAAAGGCUAGUCUCAAUAAUGGUGUCCAGCACAACCCACCCCUCAAAUAAAACUAAGCAUCCUGGAAUUCUUUGACAAAACUAAGCACCUUGAAAUUCUUUGACAACUAAACUGCUGGCUAUAUGAUGAUGGCCAUAUAUAUUGUACGUAUAUAAUGCGAAGAAACGAGUGGUAAUACUAUACCAACUAAAAGAUGAAAUGUAAGAAAUACUAGUAGUAUGUACGUACUGAAGAGUUAAAGUAACGAGAAGAAACAUAACAUAGUUCUGCUGGGGGCUCAGCACAACACACUCCUCAAAUUAAAUUAAGCACACCUAAAAUUAAACUUUGCAACUAUUCUAGUAGACACUGCAUUAGAACCACCAUCAGCAACGAUACUGCCACCUUACUCGGAGGAGUCCUCGUCCAUGUCCUCGACUUUGUCCUUGUCCCUCUUCCUCUUGGCUGAUACUUCUUUGCUUGAACCGCACACUUGGCUCUUGCUCUUCAUCCAACCCUUGUAGAUAUUGAAACAAAGGCAGCCAUCCAUUGCAGCGUAGUGGAUGUGGUCUAUAUCUAGUACAUUCCGCUGCCAUGCAUAACGAUGAAACGUGUAUGGAGGUUUCUCCAGUUUACCGUACGAAGGAUGAACCAUGGCUCCUGCCAGGGUCAGCAUUGAAGGCUGAUGAGAGGACACCAGCCGAUUUUUCUGGAGGUCGAAGGGGUUGCCUACAAUGAGGCCUAUCCGACCCAGGACUCCUUUAUCGUUCCCAAAGUCUACAGUAACGAAUUUGACUAGGUUGCUCUUGAGGAAGUCCUUAAAAUCCAGACAUUCAAUGUCGGCAUGGCAUAUGUGGUAGACCAAGCAUAAGUCAUGCACGCAAACCUGGAUCACGGCGGGCUUCUUCCUCUCUUCGUCCUUUAGAUCCUUCUCUCGUCCCAGGACUGUGGUGUACUCAACAUCUAGCCCAGCGACCCACUCAUCAUCUGAGUUUUCGAACGUGUGUCUGAAGCGAGAAAGGCAUCCUUUCACCGUCGCGGAAGAACGGGUGUAGAUGACGUCGAACUCAUUGCCGGUGAUGGUUCUAACCUUGUACUCACCACCGAUCGUGGAGAUUUGAGACGCCAUGGAUUUGGGAGGAGGGUUAGGAUUAGUGGAACUGCCGUAAUGUGAAUGGAUGGGACGACUAGGAGCGAACCGCCAUAGUAUUAAAGGACGUGCGGGGACGAGUAGGAGCGAACUGCCAGCAUGCGAAUGGCAGGGUAGUGGCUUUCCAUUCUCCCAUGAUACGGGCUUCCGAGAGCCCUUGGAUCUGAGAUCGAAUGGUUGCAUGGCGUGAUUCUAGACCUAUGGGUGAAUAUCCUAUCCUGGAGGGUUAUUCUGCAAAUUUUCAGCAACUUAGCAUGCGACCGUUUGAUCUCAGAUCCAAGGGCUGCCAGCAGCCCAUAUCAUGGUCGCGCCUACCAUGACCGUCGCGUCGCUCGCGUGGUCGCGCCCUUGGAGAUUUAACACGGUGCGUUAGGCUAUCUGAUGUUGGCAUGUCAUACAUAGUCAUCACUUAGUCACUCAUACUACAACAAGGUUGGCUAUAAGGUUGGUUAUAAGUGUAUUUAUUUUUUUUACUCCUCUCUAUCUCUUUCUUCGUACUCCCUCCAUCCCAUAAUAUAAGAACAUUUUGACACUACUGUAGUGCCAAAAACAUUCUUAUAUUAUGGGACACAGGGAGUACUAGUAUUUAUUGCAUUUGCCAAGGAGUGACAUCUUCCAAUGAAAUGGUGUUGCUAAGUUUGCUUCAUUUAAUUAGUUAUAGACUCAAAAUUAUCUUUUCACCUAGGUACACGCGCUUAGCACCGUUUCUUCCUUGGGUCACCAAACUAGUCUAUCUCUUCUUGAUUAACUUGCCACAUCAGACUUUAUGCCUAUGUGGCAAGCUUAGCACCUGUAGGAGCAAGUAAGGCUGCUUGUAAUGGGAGUAGUAUCAUGCAUGCCAACUAUGCAAUCUUGAUGAGGUGACGUCGAAUUAAAUGAAGAAAAGAGAGAGUUGAGUAUCAUAUUAUGAUACUGUAGUAUCAUAUUAAAUGAUGUGCUACUAUGUGUCAUGCAUGACAAUAAAUAAACUACCCUAUGAUACCAACACAUGAUACUAUGCAUUACGGAUGUAGUAUCAUACAAAAGUAUCAUAUGCAUGAUACUAGUAUAUGAUACUCUCCAUUACGACCAACCUAAGUAUAAUAGUGCGCUUUACAUGGCAUUUUUGCAUAUGUGGAGGAAAGAGAGGCAAGGAAAAAGUGGAGAAGUGGGCUCUCAUGCAAGAGCCAGCCUCUACUAUAGUCUACAUGGUGGAGCAUUGGGAGAGGCACCUGUAUGGAGGUGGUCAGGAAUCGGGAGACUCACGCCGGUCGUAGCGCCACAGUUAAAAUGAUAAUGGCAAGUCAAAUCACGGGGCCCCACCUGUCCAGCAGUAACUCGAUGUCAAAUCACACAGCCCUAAGUUUGUAGCAGCCUACUCCCUCGUCUUCUCGCGUCUUUGUCGAACCGACUAGGCGGAACUGCCCCGCCUCCUACUGCGCAGGAAAAGCCCCGCCCUCGACUUGUAAAUAGUAUAUAGUAUACUAAUUUUGUAUCCAUGGAUUGCGCCAUGGAGCAAAGCCUCUAGAAAAUGGCGGUACACAUGUACGGAGUAUACAGCACGCCCAUCGCGUUCACGUCGCACCCCAGACGGUCGGUCGGUCUGGCACGCUGCUCUCCGAAUGGAACGAGCGUCAUACUGCGUUUGCACACACAUGUGGGACGGCAAUUGAGAACUGACCAUAGGCACACUCCCCAGCCCUGCAAGUCGGUGACUUAAUAGAAGAGGGAGAGGAGCGAUAGUACUAGAGAAGUGUUGUACUACGUUGGUGCCUGGACGAUCCCUGCAAGACACGGAAGAUCAGUUCGUCCAUGCAUGUGACCAGACUCCAGCAGACAUGCCUGGAUUGGCUAUCGUCUACAUAUCGUGCAGGCUGUGUUGUACAUGGUUAUAGUUGUGGUGAGAAAUCUAAAAAAAGGUUUCUUGUCAUCUCGCAAAAUUAGGUGUCAUGUGCUUCGGAUCACUACGAGGGUUAAACAGGGACAACUGAGUUGGGCUAGUCAUUGGGGGCACAUGCACGAAGACUACUCGACUGCCAUCUAGGUCAAGCCAGCUAUGUUAAUUAGGACAUCUAUUGACGGACCCCUUUUCUACGAGUUUAUCUUUAAUUUGAGCUUUGUUCCUCGUCUAGUUUGUCCGUCGGGAUUCACGUUGUCUCCUUUGGGCAGUGAGGUUAUGAUUUCUUGUCAUGUGGCAUUUUUUCGUGUUAUAUGUUAUAAUCCGGUGCUUCAGAUCAAAAUGACGACAACUGUGCCUCCGGGCCACGUGCAUGAAGACUUCUCAGCAGUCAUUGACAAGGUCAAGCCGGCUCCGGUAGACAAAAGAAAACUAGUACUACUCCAGUAUAUAGGCAGGAGCCUCCACGCUUGCUUGCUAGUGUUGCUCUCUUCACACUGUCUCGGCCUCUCCAGAUCUAAAUACGACAGCGGUGGCCACUCUCUCUCUCUCUCUCUCUCUCUCUCUCUGCUCACCGCUGGUCACAGAUCCAGCCGGAUCCUCUCCGCCAGGGAAGGUGGGAAGGUGCAACGUUCACGCGGUCGUCCUCGGCGACGGCUCUUUCCCACUGCUGGGCGCGUCCCGAUCAACCUGCAUUGUCGUUCUCUCCCAAGCACCGCUGGCGAGGGAGGGCCUCCGACCCCUUCUUCCUCGCUGUCGUAGUGUGGGCAGAUCCGGCCUCCCGCCGCCCACCUAGCGACAUCCCGGCGACCAUCAGGUAUAACCUCCUUCGAAACCGGCCUUGCUCUACUUCUCGAGCUCCUGACGUCGCUGCAUUUGUAUCUUCUACUAUUUCUCAGGCCCCCUCGUAGAUAGGAUUGAUCGCUUGUUCGAAAACCACCUAAUUUUUUUACGUUUAAGAGGUAAAACUACUUCAUGCACUCGAAUCUAGUACUACUUGGUUCAAACAAGGAAGAAAGGGGGUGGGGCGGGGGAGGAUUUGUUACCUGGAUCUAGGACUUGGUCAAAAGAGGAAAUAAUGGGGGCGAAAAGUAGCAGAGACUAGCUAUCCAACUGGUCUCUAGGUCUAAUAGGGAAAUAAAGGGAAACGCAGUACAAACUCAAUAUAAACCCGAUCUAUUGGUUGAAAAAGGAAAGAAAGUGGGGACUGGGGGACAAGUCAACAGAGUAAGUCCAGCACUAGAUUUGCUAGCCUCACACAGUAUAAGGUGGCUAUAACGAACAAAAAUGGGACCAACCCAGAUAUCCUGUUCUGAUGUUUGUUGCCCCGAGCCACUCUUAUGUAAUGACACUGGUAAAAUGUAGCAGUCGCACUGUUAAAAGUAAGGACACGUUAAACCAAUGUUGUUCUCAAUGUAAUGCCUCCAGUAAUAUGAAUCAAUGGCACUUUUUACAUGUCCUGCUAAAUUUCCCAUUAAGAUAAGUUGGUUCUUUUCGUUAGAAAUGCAACUGUCCUGGUCCGCCUACUCUCCCGUGCCCAAAGUAAUGUAGUAUUUAACGGUUGUCAUAGUUAAUCCUAAUGCCCACACUAAUAUCUAGCAAUUCCACUGCUUUAGAAAUUGCUACUGUCUUUGUAGGAUUGCCAUUCACAUAAGGAACAUGCUUCUUUUCAUUUGAUGCAUGUUUCAUCACUUGUUAGUCACCCUCCUUUCCACCUUUUUUGUGCAAGCAGAGAUAUACAUUUCACGCUCGAUCUUAGUGGAACUGCACAAAUGAUAUCCAAAUUAUAGUUGAGCAUUCCAGGAGCUUCACAACCAACCUUGAUGUUGGUCAAUUUUAUUGCAACUAAUGAAGAAGAAGCUCUGUGGGUUUUGUUUUCUGAUGGAAAUGGAACCGGGGCUGGAGCCCUUUUCUUAAAAAAAAUUGAAGAAGAAGCUGCUAGCUCACGGGACAUUGCUUCAUUUUAGGUGAGCUGCACCAAAAGGUCCCAUGAAUUGAAUCAUCCAUGUUGGUGACUGAAAGAGCCAGCUUCAGCAUCCCAAUCUAAGCACCCCCGGCCUCCAUCCUUGUGGCGCGCGGUACACCUUGUUUGCCACCUUCUCGACCCUAGUGUCACUGAUAAAAUGAAGUAAUAAUACAGUUAAAAUAGAGCGAGUGUCAUCUCUAUCAUUUCAUUUCCAAUGUAGAUAAAGAAAGUGCUUCUCUUUGUUAAUGUAUGUUUCAUCAACUAGUCCCAUUGUUAAUGUUUAAGCGUUUUUGCAAACUGGGGUGCUUAAUUUUAGUUGAUAUGUACAAGAAUAGAGAUUUGAAUGUCUUAAGGCGCCUCCUUGUACUACUGCUGUACACUAAUGUUCAUCACUGGCAGAAGGUCUAUCUGGGAGACUUGGGACGAUGUUCAGUAUGAGGCAUACUGUAUGAGGCGUCGCAGGGCCCAUCUCACCCUCGCAGCAUGGCAUACUAUGAUACUAUCGCAAUAUUUUCUUCUAUUUAUUUUGUGUGUUUCAUCAACUAGUGCCACUAUAAUGUAAUCACGCUUUUUCAUUAUCUGUGCAAACAGGGUUAUUCAGCUGCAUUUUGGUGGAACUGCACAAAUGUACGUAUGGAACCAGCAUAUAUGCAGAGUGCGAGGUGUGCCAAGUAAAAAUUACCGACACCAACCAUUCUGCAUGCACGCAUUGGCAUCCACCACCACCAGUGGGAUGUGUGGCUCUCUUUGUGGACGGAUCUUUCUCGGCAGCAAAUCCUCUAACCAAAUACUAGUAGCUUAUAUUGGCAGUUUUCUAGGGAGUACUUUUUUCUGAAAGAAGCACCAAUCUACUUUUCUUUAUUUGUACAUUGUGUCACAAGUUUGACCCAAAGGUCCAGAGAUAUUUUAGGGUGAUUGGCGUAGUACUCGGAGACUGAUUGUAAGCAUGAUUUCCAUUAGCUAUCACACUGAUUGUAAGCAUGAGCAGGUGGAAGAUUAGGUUAGUGCGAAGCUUACCUUAAACCCUACCACCGCGUUGAAACGAGGCAAGCGUCGAGGGAACCAUGGAGAAUGGUGGGGAAGCGAUGUCGCACCAUCCAGCCUCCUCUUGCGGUGGGAGAACAAAUACUCCUAUGGCUCCGGCUGGCUCUGCACCCUCACGAACGACACACCAUACUCGAUUGAUCCGUUAUCCUCUGGGUGCUCGACCUUCAACCUGUACACCCACCACCUCCGCCUGACUGUCGCCUCGGGUGAAUCUGUCUGCUCCAUCGCCCAAAGGAGAUACUCGAUGAACUCGGAGGACUGCGGCGUGACUGCCGCCGAGGAGUACAUGUACAUCGCCGCCCUCAUCACCGUCGUCUCGCUCUUUCGCAUACAUUGCCACAUGGCCUGCACCGUCCUCGAAAUCUCCCACUCAUUGUCAAACCAACUAAGGAUCUCCUUCAACCUGGCUAACUUUGCCUGGUCGCCGCCGGCGAUCUUCCUGAUUCGCUGCUGCAUCCUCUCCAUAGAUGUCCUUCUGAGUGGUCCGAUGCUAGCUUUGGAAGAUGGGAGGUGGUCUUGCAAUAGAGAAGAGGGAGAGGCGAGACAGUGGUCUUGCAAUAGAGAAGAGGGAGAGGCGAGAUGGUGGUUUUGGAGUGGAGAUGAUGGAGAGGAGAGGAGGUGGUUUUGUAAUGGAGAAGAUCAGAAGAGGGAGAGGCGAGACGGUGGUUUUGGAAUGGAGAUGAUGGAGAGGAGAGGAGGUGGUUUUGCAAUGGAGAAGAGGGAGAGGAGCGUGCGGCAGUGAUUUAGGAUUGGAUGAGAGGGCCGGCGCGCUGUGACUGGAUCAAAAUCAAAAUCAAUUUACCCUUCAAUUAAGAAAGCGGCCCCACAUUAACUAGUCUCUCUUUAUUCUGGGUCAUAAUUGACCAUGAUUUUCGCACAUAAAAUAUAUGUUAUACGUUGCAAAAAUAAUAUAAUUUGAAAUUACAUUCAGAUACAAACCAAACGAUACAAUUUUUGGUGACAUGCAUUCACAUUUUGCUUGUCAAAUACAGUACGUGGUCAAACUUUGACCCAAAAUACGCAAAACAACAAAAAAAUACUUCCAAGACCAGCGUCGCUCUUCCGCUCUUCUCCUCUUAAACCACCCGCGCUCCUCUCCUGUUCCAAUCUAAAUCCAGUGCCGCUCCUCUCCUCUUCCAUUUCAAAACCACCGCCCCUCCUCUCCUGUUCCAAUCCAAAACCAGCGUCGCUCCUCUCCUGUUCUAAUCCAAAACCAGUGCUGCUCCUCUCCUCUUCCAUUCAAAAACCACCGCCAGCGAGUGAAGGUGCUGUGGAGAAGUAGAUCGAUGGAGGAGUACAACCGAUACAUGAGGAUCACAGACGGCGACCCUGUGAAGCUAGCUAGGAUGUUGGAGAUACAGUCUUGGUUUGAUAACAAGGACCAACUAGUGGCGACGGCGACAUCCAUGGCCAAAUAUCUCCAACAGAGCGAAAAGGCGGCGAUACUCCCGGAGGGAGUCACGCCGGAGUACAUAGAGCUGCUCCUCUCGGCCAUGGAGCAAACAGAUUCACCGAAUCCGAUCGUGAGGGAGCGGUGGUGGGAGUAUUGAUCCCAGAUGGAGCAUCCACCAGAGAUUGAAGGAUCGAGCAUCUACAUGGUGCCAUUUGUGAGGGUGUCCUGGCAGAGCGAGACGGUGGAGUCUUCGUCGACCGAACCCAACUGCAAGAGGAGAAAAGCAGUUGGCCCGACGAUGCUUCCCCGCCAUUGUCUCCCUCGCCGUUCAUAUCGUCUCACGGGGCGGCUGUCUGCCACCGAGGAAUAGGAGGGGACUGCCCCCCCAGCCCAAUAGUCGGGCAGGUUGUGAAUUGUCAGGAGGAGCUUAGGGUUGUCAGUAUUUGCGGGUUGUGAAUUGUGUUUUGUGUUGUGUAUUUUGAGAGUACUUUCAGAUAUAAAUGUCUUUUGAAUUUCAGAUUUGCAGUAUUGAGCAUAUGAAGUAUUUUAUGAAUUCUAGAGAUCUAUUUUUAGCACUUAAAAAAAUGUAGUUUCAUAGGAGUAUAAAAGUGCAGACAAUGUGAUUCUCAGAGAAGAAACUGCAAGUUUCAGUUUCAGAUAAGAAACUGCAAGUUCAGUUUCAGAUAAGAAACUAUAACUUUUAGAGGCAAAGCAUUUGUAUUAACAUGGCCUUUUCAAACAGGGUUAACAUCAUGUUGGAAGUUUUAUUCAUGGUGGAAAAUGGAACUACCAUCCAGUUAACAUCAUGUUGAUCAACAUGCAUGCAUAGCACAUCUUCAUAUGAUGCAUAGUCAAAAUGCCUACACAAUGUCAAGUGUGCGAAACACACAGAAAACGAGGGACAAAGUUUUGGCAAGUGUCAGACGUGGUUUUGGGCUGCCCCGUCUAGUCUUUCAUUUUUAACAUGCGCAGCCCAUGACCUCGGAUGGGAAGUCCAUAGGCAUGUUUGUAUUUUCUUGAGGGUCGUCAUGUAUCGACCGGCCUAUGGACCUCCCAUCCGAGGUUUUAUUUUUCCUGAAUAUCGGCAGCCCAAUUUAUGUAUUUUUUUAAGAAAACGCAGAGGUCUGUUCUAUUUUUCUAUAUAAGAAUAGGAACGCCAGGUCCAACUUAUGUUUCCCUUGUAACUAUAUUGUAUAUAUUUAAAUUAUUUUAUAUGUUAUUAUAUAUUAUUUUUAUUGUCAUCAUAUAUUUAACAGAUACUUACAUAUGUAAGAAAACAAUAUCCCACAUCUUAUUAACUUAUAAAAGUAAUUUCUUAACAAUAAAAUCCUGGAUUGUUUUGGCACGAAAAUCCUAGUGAUUGUGUACAAAAGCUUGGUAAGAUUUAAGGACGAAUGUAAUAAUAUCACUUAUUGUUUAAAUAUAUUUAUAACAAAAUGCUCAGCCCCUUUUUAUUUUUUGAUAACAUUGUUGGCCCAACCCAACAUUAUAAUUAGAAUCAGCCCAGCAUAAUCGUGUAUUUCGAGAAAGUGCAAAUGGCCUGUAAUUUUUUAGGAAAUAGAAUAAAUGGGCCGCAUGGACGCUACAUAAUUUGUUCACCCAGCCCAGCUAAUGGUUGUAAUUCAAAAAAUAAUAAUAAUCAAAUUGACUGUAAAUUCUACCGCGCAAAAAAAGACUGUAAAUUCUGAAAAAAUGGGUUGAAUACGUGCCACAUUUUUGGAGGCUGAAAUGUGGGCAAUAGGUCGAAGCCAACGCAAGUCGUUGUCAAUUUAGUCAACAAAUGAUUCUGACAUGUUAGCCGUUGGAUUUACAUCCAACGACCGUCAUCCAUCUUCAAUCUCUCGUCUUCUUCCUCCAGCGCCGCCGGGACCACCUCCCGCCUCCUGCUGCUAGCAUCUCUGCUUAGCACGCUUCGCUAUGAAGCGCUACUCCACCGUUGGCCUGGCCAUCCCUCCACCCCUCCACACCUCCUGUUCUUCUCCACCGACUGCCGAACCACACUGCACUAGAACCAGUUAACCCUCAUACACCUCUCCGUCUGCGACUCUACUCCCAUGUCUUCCCAUCUCCGGCUCGUUGCUAUCCGGGGCUUUGCCGUCGUACACCACCUUGGAUGCGCUCGGUGCGGCAUGGUCAACGUGGUCAACGAACGACACCAUCGGAAGUAAACUGUGCGUGGAGAGGCUGACAGCUGGGUCCAUGGCCGCACACAAGGAAAUGCCUCCUUAUUACGCGCAAAAUAAUGAUUCCUCCACCUGACAUCUGGGACCCACCGGAAGGGCUUUUGUAUUUCGCGAAAAAAACGUGCCCCCCGCUGAUAGGUCAGACCCACUAGCUAUCUUCGCAAGCAAGGAAGUGUCUCCUUAUUACGCACAAAAAAAUGAAUACCCCCUACUAGCUGGGACCCACCAUAGUGGGUGGCUGACUUAUGGGCCUACUAAGUUGACGGGGACGGAGGGCUUUGUCAACUUAGUGAAUACUCCAGUGACCGUAUGAUGUCCAUCCAACGGCCAUAGUGCUUCUUCAACCUCUGGUCUUCUUGCUCCAGCCGCCCAAAGUAGCGCCGGUCGUGCCGCCUGCUCCUGCCUUCCGUGGCCGGUUGUGAUGCCGCGGAGGCCUCACCGCCCCCUACUACUCCCAUCGCUGGCCAGGCCAUCCCUCUACUCACUCACACCCCCUGUUAUUCCGUGGCGACAGCAGCCUCACACCGCAGCCGAACCAGUGAACCCUCGUACUCCUCUUCACGUGGGCAUCCACUGUUGCGUCUUCCCUGCCUCCGUGUCGUUCCCUUCCUAGGCCUCGCCGUCGUCCACCGCCCUAGUGCUCUCGGCGUGGCCUGGUCAACGUGGUCGAUGACCGACCUGCAUCUGAAGUGGACUGUAUGUGGAGAGGCUGAUAGUUGGGUCCACGGCCGCAGCAAGGAUGUGCCUCCUUAUUACGCGCAAAAUAAUUAUUCCUCCACCUGACAGCAGGGACCCAUCGGAUGUGCCACCUUAUUUCGUGAAAAAAAACAUUUCCCCCGACUGCUGGGACCCACCAGCUACAUCUUCGCACGCAAGGAAGUGCGUCCGGGCAAAAAAAACGAUUCGCCCCCCUGACUGCUAGGACCCACCAGCUACAUCUUCGCACGCAAGGAAGUGCGUUCGAAAAAAAACGAUUCGCCCCCCUGACUGCUGGGACCCACCAGCUACAUCUUCGCACGCAAGGAAGUGCCUGACAGUCGGGACCCACCUGGUCGAAGCGUACGUAGCAUUGUCAUUCUGGUCGCGAACGUGUAUGUACAUAUAUACUGGUCGACGUAGAGGCGCACACGUGUCGUAGUAGAGGCGCGCACGUAGCAUGUACAUGUACGUACAGCGUCCAGGGUGCAAGAAAGAAAAUAUGGCCACGUACGUACAUACGGGUGGGGUCUCGAACGCCUACUCGCGCAUAUAUACUUACGGCCAGGGCUCAUGUACAUGGCUGGGUCGGAACGGAGAAACAGCGUCGUUGUUGUGUUCAUGGGGAGGCAACGGAAUGCGUCGUGUUCAUGGGGAGGCAAUGGAAUGCGUCGUGUUCAUCGGGAGGCAACGGAACGCGUGGGAGCCAACCGGCUGGGUCGGAAUGGAAUGCGUGGUCGUGUUCAUUGGGAGGUCUUGGACGGAACAUGCGAUGGAAACGAGGCCUGGCGUACCGCUGAACGGAGGAAACGGCCUGGUGUUUGACCGACCAUGUUCGAAACGGGAUCUUGUUCAUCGAGAGGGGUCUGGCGUACCGCAAAACGGAGGAAACGGACCUCCUACGGUCGAAACGGGGGUCCUGUUGAUCGGGAGGGGUGUGGCGUACUGCAAAACGGACGAAACGGACUUGUGUUGGAGCGCUACGGUCGAAAUGGGGGUCCUAUUGAUCGGGAGGGGUGUGGCGUACCGCAAAAUGGACGAAACGGACUUGUGUUGGAGCGCUACGGUCAAAACGGGGGUCCUGUUCAUCGGGAGGGGUGUGGCCUACCGCAAAAUGGGACUCCACGAAAUUCUGUUCAUCUCCAUCGUCGACCUCCUCCAGCCUCCACGGGCUACUGUUCAUCCACUGUCGACAUCCUCCAGCCUCCACCUAUGACUGUUCAUCCACGGGCUCCUGUUCAUCCAGCCUCCACAGCGCGCUACUCCACCGGAUACUGUUCAACCACCCCUCCACGGGCACCCCUCCAUCGUCUACUGUUCAUCCAACCCUCCACCACACCACGGGGUCCUGUUCAACCAUCCCUCCUUGGGCACCCCUCCACCAUCUACUGUUCAUCCAGCCCUCCACACCACGGGGUCCUAUUCAUCCAGAGGCAACGCCACGGGUCCUGUUCAUCCACUCCCACCGCUCAAUGUUCAUCCAACCCCCCCCCCUGCAACGCUCAUUGUUCAUCCAGUGAGGCAGCAUCGAUCGGUUUUAGUUAGCAGCAGUAGCGAAGGAAGCAAUCGCUCGGGUUCAGUAACGCGUAGCCUGCAGUACAAUCGCUCGGAUUCAGUUAGAGCCCAACGCCUCGCUCGGGUUCAGUUAGAGCCAACACCUCGCACACACGCGCGUACGUGUACGAGAGAAACGCGCAUCGCUCGGCCCCCCACCACCCACCGUAACUGGGAACUCCCCGAAAUUUUCCUCGCCCUCGGUUUUUUUCGUCAUGGACGGCCCAAAGAAUGUCAUGCAGCUGCAUGUCCGGCCCGCCCAGGAUGAAAAGCCCAUUUUCUGUCAUGAUUUUUUGUCAUAGAAGUAGGAGCCCACCACAUCUAUGAUGAUACUGGGUUUUGUCACAAUUAUCGUCAUAGAAGUGUCAUAUGUAUGACAGGAAAAAAUUCGUUCGGCCCAAAAUGUCACGGAUGUGUCUUCUUUUGUAGUGUUGAUAACGGGAUCACAUCAUUAGUAGAAUUAUGUGAUGGACAAGACCCAUCCGUUAGCUUAGCAUAAUGAUCGUUCAGUUUUAUUGCUACUACUUUCUUCGUGUCAAAUAUAUAUUCCUCCGACUAUGAGAUUAUGCAACUCCCGGAAACCGGAGGAAUGCCUUGUGUGCUAUCAAAUGUGACAACAUAACUGGGUGAUUAUAAAGAUGCUCUAUAGGUAUCUUCUAAGGUGUUUGUUGAGUUGGCAUAGAUCGAGAUUAGGAUUUGUCACUCCGAGUAUCGGAGAGGUAUCUCUGGGCCCUCUCGGUAAUGCACAUCAUAUGAAGCCUUGCAAGCAAUGUGACUAAUGAGUUAGUCAUAGGAUGAUGCACUACGGAACGAGUAACGAGACUUGCCGGUAACAAUAUUGAACUAGGUAUGAAGAUACCGACGAUUGAAUCUCAGGCAAGUAAUAUACCGAUGACAAAGGGAAUAACUAUAUUGACAUUGCGAUUCGACCGAUAAAGAUCUUCAUAGAAUAUGUGGGAACCAUUAUGAGCAUCCAGGUUCCGCUAUUGGUUAUUAACCGGAGAGGUGUCUCGGUCAUGUCUACAUAGUUCUCGAACCUGUAGGGUCCCCACGCUUAACUUUUGAUGACGAUUGGUAUUAUAUGAGUUAUGUGUUUUGGUGACCGAAGGUUGUUCGGAGUCCCGGAUAAGAUCACGGACAUGACGAGGAGUCUCGAAAUGGUCGAGAGGUAAAUAUUGAUAUAUUGGAAGGUUAUAUACGAAUACUGGAAUUGUUCCGAAUAGGUUCGGGGAUUUUUUGGAGUACCGGGAGGUUACCGGAACCCCCCGGCAAAUUUAAUGGGCCACAUGGGCCUUAGUGGAGAGGAGAGGACAAGCCAGAGGAGGUGCCCCCCCCCUUGCCAAUCCAAAUUGGACAAGGGGUGGGGGCACGGUCCCCCUUUCCUUCUCCCUCUCCACAUCUUUCCCCUUUUCCCCCUCCGUAAGAAGGAAAAGAGGGGGGUGAAUCCUACUAGGAGUGGAGUCCUAGUAGGACUCCCUGCUCCAUGUUACGCCCCUGGUGGCCGACCUCCUCCCCCUCCUUUAUAUACGGGGGCGGGGGCACCCCAAAGACACAAUGGUUAUUCUCUUAGCCGUGUGCAGUGCCCCCCUCCACCAUUUACUCCUCCGAUAGUAUCAUCGUAGUGCUUAGGCGAAGCCUUGCGUGGAUCACAUCACCAACACCAUCAUCACGUCGUCGUGCUGACGGAACUCAUCGGCUCCAUCGACACUCUGCUGGAUCUAGAGUUCGAGGGACGUCAUCAAGCUGAACGUGUGCAGAACUCAGAGGUGCCGUACGUUCGGUACUUGAUCGGUUGACUUGAGAAGACGUUCGACUACAUCAACCACGUUAAGUUAACGCUUCCGCUUUCGGUCUACGAGGGUAUGUGGACACACUCUCCCCCUCUCGUUGCUAUGCUUCUCCUAGAUAGAUCUUGCGCGAGCAUAGGAAAAAAUUUGAAAUUGCAUGCUAUGUUUCCCAACAGUGGCAUCCGAGCCAUGUCUAUGUGUAGAUGAUAUGCACGAGUAGAACACAAAGAGCUGUGGGCGAUGAUCGUCAUACUUCUUACCACCAAUGUCUUAUUUUGAUUUGGCGGUAUUGUUAGAUGAAGCGGCCCGGAGCAACCUUACAUGACCGCGUUCAUGAGACCGGUUCCACCGACUAACAUGCAACUAGUUUUGCAUAAAGGUGGUUGGCGGGUGUGUGUUUCUCCAACUUUAGUUGAAUCAAAUUUAACUGCGGCCGGUCCUUAUGAAGGUUAAAAUAGCAAACUUGAUAAAUCACCAUUGUGGUUUUUGUGCCGUAGGUAUGUACGGUUCAUGCUAGAAGCCCGUAGCAACCACAUAAAACUUGCAACAAACAAAGUAGAGGACGUCUAACUUGUUUUUGCAGGGCAUGUUGUGAUGUGAUAUGGUCAAGACAUGAUGUGAUAUAAAGAUUGUUGUAUGAGAUGAUCAUGUUUUGUAGAAGUUAUCGGCAACUGGCAGGAGCCAUAUGGUUGUCGCUUUAUUGUAUAAAAUACGAGCGCCAUGUAAUUGCUUUACUUUAUCACUAAGCCGUAGCGAUAGUCGUAGAAGCAAUGGUUGGCGAGAUGACCACGACGCUACGAUGAAGAUCAAGGUGUCAAGCCAGUGACGAUGGAGAUCAUGAUGUUGCUUAGGUGAUGGAGAUCAUGAGCACAAGAUGAUGAGGAUGGCCAUAUCAUGUCACAUAUUUUGAUUGCAUGUGAUGUUUAUAUUUUAUGCAUCUUAUUUUGCUUAGUAUGGCGAUAGCAUUAUAAGAUGAUCCCUUGCUAAAUUUCAAGGUAUAAGUGUUCUCCCCGAGUAUGCACCGCUGCGAAAGUUCUUCGUGCUAAGACACCCCAUGAUGAUUGGGUGUGAUAAGCUCUAUGUUCAAAUACAAUGGGUGCAGACCAGAUUUGCACACGCGGAAUACUCAGGUUAAACUUGACGAGCCUAGCAUAUACAUAUAUGGCCUCGGAACACUGGAGACUGAAAGGUCGAACGUGAAUCAUAUAGUAGAUAUGAUCAACAUAGUGAUGUUCACCAUUGAAGACUACUCCAUCUCACGUGAUGAUCGGACAUGGUUUAGUGAUUUGGAUCAUGUAUCAUUUUGAUGACUAGAGGGAUGUCUAUCUAAGUGGGAGUUCUUAAGUAAUAUGAUUAAUUGAACUUAAUUUAUCAUGAACUUAGUCCUGAUAGUUUUUUGCAUAUCUAUGUUGUAUAUCAAUGGCCCGUGCUACCGUUCCUUUGAAUUUAAUGCGUUCCUAGAGAAAACUAAGUUGAAAGAUGAUGGCAGCAACUACAUGGACUAUGUCCGUAACUUGAGGAUUAUCCUCACACUACUGCAGGAUGCUGCUAACAAGACACUACGAUCAGAGACCCUUUGAGAAAUUGUGUGCGAUGCAAUAAUCGCAAACAGUGGUGUAAGAAAACCGUCAAAAAUGUGCAAAACAUUUGCGAUGAUGGAUGCAUCAAACACGGUUCAGAUUUUAGUUGCGUGUGCGAUGCAGGGCAUACGGUUUAGUUCAAUUAACUAUUUGCGAUGAGGAGGAACAAAAGAAACGGGAAGCCAGAUGAAGGCGUGUGCGAUACACAACAUACGGUUCACUCGGAAGAACUGUUUGUGAUUAGGCAACACAAAAGAAACGGUCAGCCAGAUCAGGGUGUGUGCGAUAUACAGCAUGCGGUUCACUCGGAUGAAUUGUUUGUGUUGAGACAAGAGAACAGAAACGGUUCAAUAUAACAAGAUGUGUGUGAUACGCGACAAACAGGUCUGUAAUUAGAAAUGUGUGCGAGGACUGAUAAUAACACAAACGAUUGCUUCUAAUAAGAUGUAUGUGAUAUGCUCUGUCUACACAACAUGUACUGGCCAUUGGGGGACUGGCGGUCAUCCGGAUACGCCAUAAGGAUGCGAAGGCAUCCUAUAUCAACAAGGACUAGCUGCUCCACCAGUAGCUCAUCUAAGAGAACUCUCAAGUUAAGUGUGCUCAGGCUGGAGCAACCAUUAGAUAGGUGACUGGAUGGGAAGUUGUGUUGAUGUUAAAUUAACUGAUAGGAUGGGUCAUUUCGGUUCAAAUGACCGAAAUGACCCAUUCCCUCAACUAAUUUCACCUCGAGGCCCGUGUUUUUUAUUUUUAUUUUAUUUUUUAACAUAUGUUAAAGAAGGUCUACCGCAUUAUUUUUUGGCAAUGUGUAUAUGUGGCAUACAGUUGAUCCAUCCGACCUGUUUGUGAUGGAAUAAGCCGUGUGUGUUGUGGGCAAACGCUUGCUAGUGUACAACCGUUUGUGAUUGAUGAAUUCAUCACCCACGAGUUCCCUAGUGUGGUCCGUGUUCAUCUCAUUAUCAUCUACUUCUUGUGCUAGAUCGAUGUUCCUUAUAUGCUAAGUUUCCAUUAGUUGAUGGCGUUCUAUGAACACGCCACUGUUUCCCGCCAUUUCCUCACCUAUGUCCCGCCACCCAGCGAUAUUGCACAUAAACCUAGGUGCGGUGCAAUGCACGGAGGCAAAAAGCACAGCCUGUAGCACAUCCACCUUUUCCACGCAUGCCAAUGCACCAAAGCGCCGCCUCUGCCAUCAACCUCGUCGACGAGGAAAACCAGAAGGCGCCACGGCUCGUCGAGGCUGCGGUACUCCCCAACAACGCGAUGGACGACGUCGUGAUGCGCAUCAUCUCCAGGGUUGAGCAGACCAUUGGCACAUGGUGCUUCAGCGCCGCCGGUCAAGAUAGGCAUGUCAGUGCUGAGAGGCUGUAGCUCGCCGCACAACAUGAUCGAUGGCGCACCGCAGAGAAAGCUAGGCGCGUCCGGAUCGAUAGGUUGCGGCUCGCCGCACGGCGAGAGCGUUGGAGUGCCGCAGAGCAAGAGGCGCGGCGCGCCGCACAGCAAGAGCGGAUCCAUCAGUGCUUGCCCGCUGUCGACAGGGUGUCGCAGCUGGGUACACGUCCCGUCAGUACCCCCAUUCCUCGCCAGGAGUGGGCACAGGCCCUCUGCACCGUACUGGCACCAGAGGUCGGCCGCGCUGUACUUGCACUGGACGCCCGCCAUGCCAUUCGCAUGGGUCACGCCGUUUGCCUUGUCCGCGGCCCGCUUGAUACCAACGCGCUGGUCGGUAGGCUCAACCGCCUCCUUGGCUCAGGUGUCCACUUGGGCGCAGUAGAGAAACAUGGCUGUCGCAUCCUCGAGGUGGUGAUAUCCGAUGAAAUAGCCAACUUGGAGCUCAAGAUCGCGCUCCAGAUGUACUACGAGCGUGUCGACCGCUUCGACAAACGACUACGCGAGUUCAAGCAGAGGCAAGAGCUACCGUAGGCAAGGGCUACUGCUCAUGGUCUCAUGGACGCGUUUUAUUUUGUUGAGUCGUUUCGACGUGGAUAGCUAUGUAUUCACAGCAAUCAUACUAUUGCUCUGUUUAUUGCUCUGUUUCAAUGUGUGUACUCUGUUUUCCGUUCUUAUAUGUUCUGUUUCAAUGUGUGUUUAUACGCUUUCCAUUCUGUAUAUGUGGAUGAUAACAGAUAGAUUCAAAUUAGUAUAAAAAAUAGAUAGAAAAUGGAAUUCAUAAUAUAUAUAAUAUUAAUUGUUCAUUAGUUCAUCACAGAAUAUAUAUAAUAUCAUCACAUAUAUGUGAUGAUACUUAACUACUAGGUACAAUGCAUAAAAUUGAAAAUGAUAAAUACUAAAAUUAAUAAUCCCUCUUGGGGCCAGUAUUCCGACAGCCCCUCACCAACAGCUCCCUGGUGCGCGGCGUCUUCCCAGAACGGAGGCAGUACUCCGCCUCGCAGCGCUUACGUGUUGAUCUGACUCUUGUACGUGGACGCGCACAAACGAUCUUGCCAUUUCAUUGCGCGCCCACCGGAGCUCCUCGUCGGUGGCACGUUGGAGCUUAUCGGCCCAGCUCCACGCAGCGACGAGGCGCCUAGCGCCUCUGGCCUUGCUCAUGAAGUACCCGUCUUCGUACACCUCCUCCGUACGACGAUGCGCCCGGCCCCAAAGCUCCGCCUCCUCCUUUUUCCAGGCAGCAUCACGGGCUUCACAGGACGCCUAGUACCUGGCAUCCUCCUCCGCCAUCUCCUUCUUGAAAGCCACUUGACUGGCUUUCUCAGCCUAUGGCAGCGACUUCCAAAGACAAAGAUCAUACUGGCCCCAAAACCAAUCCAAAGUUGGGGGGUCUGGUGCAACCUCGUCCGGCGGCGCGUAGGUGUCCUUGUCGCUGCUCUUCGAGUGAGCGUCCUCGGGGGGUGGCAACUCCUCAUCGGCGCGUGGGCAGACCGGCGGCGCCAUGGCAGAGAUUUGAGAGAGAGAGAGAGAGAGAGAGAUAGAGAGAGAGGGAGGGGGCAAGGGGGGAUCUAGAUGAGAAUGCAUGCGAGACAACAUGAGCAAGGUAGUAUUUAUUAGCGGCCGAAAUCUAGAUCGACGGGAACAGUACACGCGCCGGACGCUGGAAUUUACGAAUAUUGUAGUGUGAAUUACACACGAUUCCCACAGUAAAAUCCGUGUGUGAACAUAAUAGCUGAUGGUUCCCAAUGUAGAACCGUGUCUGAUUAAUAAAGCCCGCCACUCACCUUCCAAACCUCGAGGCGCGAAAUAGAGUGCCAAUCGUGUGGGGCCGGAUGUUUUGCCAGAUUUUACAUUUUCUUUUUUGAACACCAGAUAUUUACAGCGUUUGAUGACUUUCUAACUCACACACAAGUACACAAAUAUGAUUUUUCAAAUCGUUAUGGUUAGCCAUUGCAUGUAGAUGUAGUUCAAAUUUGAAUUACGAUCAUUAAAUGGCUAGAAAAUUACUUAAAUAUCUUCAAAAGGUCAAAUGACCUCUAAAAUUUUCUAAAUUUUCUCAUGACAGUUGUAUUAGUGCAUGUUACACAAAAAAAUUGAAGGCCGUAAGAGGAAGCUAUCUGCCGUUCGUCAUCAAACAUGCAUUACUCCCUUCUCGGAACCACAAGCCUUCUAGUGAGUUGCUCCGGUUUGUGAGGGGUGUGUGUCCAAACUUUUGUCAAACAGACCAAUUUUUAUACCACAUCAUCUUGGUGACAUGACAUUACAUCAAGCAAGGUUUCAUGUUUUUCUGAUCAUUUUUUAAUUUUUUGGAAUAAAAAUGCCAUGACACUCCAUGCAUGUACAUGUGUCCAUGCCGUGAGACCUAUAUGUUUGAAAAUUCUUUCUAAUUUACUGCAUAUGGAAUUAACUCGCAUACAAGUACACAAAUAUGAUUUUUAAACCGUUAUGGUUAGCCAUUGCAUGUACAUCUAGUUCAAAUUUGAAUUACGGUCAUUAAAUGGCUAAGAAAUCACUUAAAUGUCUUCAAAAGGUCAAAUAACCCCUGAAAUUUUCCAAAUUUUCGCAUUACAGUUUGUAUCAGUGCACAUUACAUGUAGAAAUUUGUUGAAGGCCGUAAGAGGAAGAUAUCUGUCGUUCGUCAUCAAACAUGCAUUGCUCCCUUCUCGGAACCACGAGCCUUCUAGUGAGUUACUCCGGUUUGUGAGGGGUGUGUGUCCAAACUUUUGUCAAGCAAACCAAUUUUUGUACCACAUCAUCUUGGUGGCAUGACAUUACAUCAAGCAAGAUUUCAUGUUUUUCUGAUUAUUUUUUAAUUUUUUUGAAUAAAAAUGCCAUGGCACUCCAUGCAUGUACAUGUGUCCAUGCUGAGACCAAUAUGUUUGAAAAUUCAUUCUAAUUUACUGCACAUGAAAAUAGCUCGCACACAAGUACACAAAUAUGAUUAUUCAAACCGUUAUGGUUAGCCGUUGCAUGUAUAUCUAGUUAAAAUUAGAAUUACGAUCAUUAAAUGGCUAGGAAAUCACUUAAAUGACUUCAAAAGAUCAAAUGACCCCUGAAAUUUUCCAAAUUUUCACAUGACAGUUUGUAUCAGUGCACAUUACACGUAGAAAUUUUUUGAAGGCCGUAAGACGAAGCUAUCUGCCGUUCGUCAUCAAACACAUUGAAAUAUUUUUAAUGUUUUAGUUUUUCUUGAAGGAAGCAAAAAUAAUUUAAAAAAAGAAAAACGAAAAACGAGAAAAACUAUUUACACAAGAAAGUUCCCAGCAAGUAAAAGAAGAACAAGAAAUAUUUUUGGGUUUUAUUUUAACACUACAAACUACUAAACAAGAAAGAAACAACGAAAAGAAGCGAGAAAUAUUUUGGAUUUUUGAAGUUUUCAAACACAGAAGAAGAAAGCAAAAAUACUUACAUGGAUAUAUAAUGAAAAAGGAUGGACGCUGACAACUGGAAUGGAAUGUAUGAACAUGAAUGUAAUGUCGAUGAGAAAUACGUACUCCCCCAAUUCUAACAUUUUGGCCUAAGUUGGUCUAUGGCCCCUAGUAGCCUGAAUAAUACCCGUAGUCAUAGUUCAGGUUAUACUGACGUGCAGCUGCCACAACUUUGUGUGCUGCCUAAUUGAGAUGGGUAGUCUCCACUGCCCUCUCGUACUCCUCAGCCUCCUCCUCAAGUAUGAAGUGUUUAUAUUUUACAUGAAAAUUAAAGAAGGCAGGAGAGGGCAAAGUAAUAUGGAAGACACGAAGCUUGAUAAAGAUUAACCUGUAUCUGAGCGGAGGGUCGUUCCUCUCGAGGAACUGGUGACAUUCCAUAGCAUCAUAAUCAAGAAUACUGGUACGUCAGCACUCCGCCAUAAAUGGCCAUCAUACCACCAUCGAAACGUCGCUGAUGCCGCUGAACUACCGUCAUAGCCGUGAUAGCAUUCCCGGAACACAACUGCCGCCGCAGGAGCAUCGUCGAAACGCUGCCGAUGCAUCACUGGAGCACCAUUGUCGCCGUCGGAGCACCUUUGUUGCCAUUGGAGCUUCGCCGAAACACCGCCGAUGCAUCGCGGGAGUACCUUGUCACCGCUGGAGCAUCGGGAACGCCUACGGAGUAUUGUCGCGUCACCGCCUAGGGGGAAUAUUCCGCUCCGGAGUAUUGUCGCGCCACCGCCUACGGACUGACAAGUGGGUCAUGCAUGUCGGGUUGGUCAUUGAGGAUCUGCUAGGGUGUGUUUGCUUCAGGGAAUGAAGUGGAACGUAACGGGUCGGACCUGCACCUGGGAGCGAUUUCUGUGUUUAGUUGAAAAAGGGAAUGGAACGCAGUGGUUCCCUGGAGAGGAAUAUUCCCCCUAUAUGCCGAACCGGGUGGUUCCUCCAAAUUGACCGGACCACGCGGAACGCGUCUCUCUCGCGUCGUCCCCCACUCACCAACGAGGAACGCCGCCCCGCUCCCUCUCCCUCGAUGGGCAUGGCGGCGGCCAUACACCUCCCCUCCUCUACGGCACCCCCUCGCCGCCGUUGGAUAUGAAGCCUCCCGGCGUCUCCUUCCCCUCGUCAGAGAUGCAGCUUCGCCGCGUCUCCUGCCCCUCGACCAAGGAUCUGGGAAAGGACGGGGCCACUCCCUCUCCAUCCGGCCUCUCCCUCGGCUCGCCCUCUGGAACGACCGCUCCUCCCCCGUAUCUCUCUCGUCAAGCAGCAGCUGAUUGCUCCCUCCUCCCGUUCCUCUCACCCAGCAGCAAUGAUGGCAGGUCAGAUGCGGCCGAUUUGUUGGGAAGCAGAGCAGAUAAGUGGCGGUCGGCUCGGCUCGUCUCCUUCCCGGCAGCUAGCCGGCCGAUGGCAUCCACACACCUGGGAGGUAGCAGCACCAACCAAGGAGCAGCCAGUUCGGCAAGCAGCAAGAGAAGCAUCAGCGGCGGCAAGAGCAAGCUUCUUCGAUUGGCUCUUUCUAACUUGGCAUUCUCCGUCCAAUAAUCAGUAGUACUCAAAUUGAUUAGUGCUAGCUUUGUGUGCUCUGUGUUGAGACCGGUAGUAACAAUUUUUGUUGUCAUUAAUACUUGGCAAUCUAGAUAUUGUGCUUCAAAUAUCAGGUUAUAUAUUUCACUGAUAAAUCAUUGUGAAAUUCAAAUGUUGUUCAAAACUAUUUAUGCUUGCGAGUGGAGUUAUAAGUUAUUGUGAGCGAAACCAAAUUCAUUCGAUUCAAUCUCUCCAACCAAACACCGAAAUGGAACCAUUCCAUUCCAUCUAUUGUGCUCAAGCAAACGCAGAGACGGAACCGACCCAUUCUAGUGGAAUGGAACCAUGACAUUCCAUUCCACUUCGUUCCGCAACCAAACACACCCCUAGAGUACCGAACCCCAAUGACCAAAAGAAGUGUUAUUGGGGCCCCCGAUAGAUGGUUAUUGGGGGAGUUUUUUUUCCAUGAGGCGUUGGAGAUGUUCUAAAGUCCAACAAGCUGUCAAGCCCGUUAGGCGUUGGAGGUUUUGUCUCAAACAGGGUAUGGAUGGAUAUUUCGUUUCUGAAUCAAGUAUAUUUCUCUCAAAAUAAACAAACAAACCAACAAAGUACAGCACUUGUAAUGAACAGUGCCGCAGAGAGUACAAAGUGCACUUGACUGUAUCCAUGAAACCGCAUCACACUGUGCCUUCCUCUGCGUCGUUCCGCGCAAAUUGAAACCCAAAACUGUAUCACCGCAGGUUCAAACGAAAUUCCCCAACCCCAAGCUACAGCUAAUACCAGUGGUCCAGUACCCUACCCGUCAACAGUUUCCUGAGGCUCUACCGUCAGCUGCUCACCGGGUCCAGUCCACCGGAACAACAGAAAACACAGAGGGCUCGGUGACCGCGCCCGGUCAUGUAAAACGCGCGCAAAGCCAGCGCCAACUUUCCUUCUCUCUCUCAAAGAAAACAAAAGAGCAAAGUUUUUCCCUCAGAAGAGAGAGAGAGAGAGAGAGAGAGAGAGAGAGAGAGAGAGCAAAGCUUAACGCAAACUGAAAAAAUGAACCGAGUACUCCCGUCUCUUUUUCGGGCAGCGGCGAGCAAGUCGCUUUCUCUCGCUGCGUCGCGUGCAUGCAUGCAUGUAUUGCUUUUUUCCCUUCAUCCCUUUGCUCGGACGGUCGGACCGACGUACGACGCCAAUGCCUGUGACCGCCAUCGCCGCCGCGCCGGCCGACGCACGCCAUGUUUCGAGGUGGCAGGCCGGCGAUCGAAUGGCCACCCAACACAUAAUCUGUCCGGGCCAAGAAAAAAAACAUUCGCAAGUGACCUGGGGAGUCGCCACGCCGCGUUUCUCUUGUUUGGACCGUGUGUAAAACCCACGCGGUAAAUUAACCGUACGUUCAACAAAGGCCUCGCCUACAGACGAGAGGGAAAAAAGAAAGAGAGAGAUAGAGAGAGAAGCAGAUUAAUCGCAGGAGUAAAAGGAAGCGGGCGGUCCGGUGUGCGUGAAAAGACGGCCGCCGCUUUGCGUUGUGCGUGCGCGAGCACUGGCGUCGGAGGGAGGUUUGCUUUAGUUUGGGGUAGGCUGCGUGCAUGGCAUGGCCCCGGCUCCUAGCUUUGCUUUUAGUUUUGCUUUUCCCCCGGCUUUAUAUAAGCGCAGCACCCCUACUUUUAGUUUUGCUUCAUGCCACUUUGGACGGGAUCUUUGCCUGCUUUAUCCUCUACUUAGCCGUUGCUACUACGACUGACUACUCUUGCAAGGGAGGAGCAGCCAAGAGGGGAGGAAGCUUGGAUAGCUAGGAAGGAGCAGUUCGGAUUUCGAGCACGCUUCUCUCGUCAGGCUUCAAUCAGGUACACUAUCUUCUGGUGGUCGUCACUUGUGCUGCCGCAUAAUGUAGUAAGAUAUAGGAGUACUCGGUAGGAUGUCGCUUAAUUCUGCUCUAGAACUCAUUAAGAAACGUACAGUGCUCUUCUGUGUGGAGAUACUCCUACUUGGGACUUGGGAGUAGUGGCUGUGAGCAAUGUCAGCGAGAGUGGCCUAGCAAGCUAGUAGCAAGAUCCACGGCGUAGCACUGCAGUAUAUCGUACUACCGUGCAUGCUAUGCUGCUGCACACUCAUUCUGCACACACAUAUACAUCCGCGCACAUUUUGCCGUGGAUUCGCUUGGACGCUCCUUGGUUCCCUUGCGUUUCCUUCCUUUUGAUGCCAUGCGGCCUUGGGUCCGUCGGCGGCGCUUUUGAGGCAGGCGAGAGAGAGAGAGAGAGAGAGGGCGAUCGAGCGCGUCCGGCGGCAUGCAUGGCCUGCAACAACAGCAAGAGAGGGGAAACCGGCUUUCCCGUCGCCCCGUAGCUGCGCGGCCAUGGCGUGAAGCCAAAACACANNNNNNNNNNNNNNNNNNNNNNNNNNNNNNNNNNNNNNNNNNNNNNNNNNNNNNNNNNNNNNNNNNNNNNNNNNNNNNNNNNNNNNNNNNNNNNNNNNNNNNNNNNNNNNNNNNNNNNNNNNNNNNNNNNNNNNNNNNNNNNNNNNNNNNNNNNNNNNNNNNNNNNNNNNNNNNNNNNNNNNNNNNNNNNNNNNNNNNNNNNNNNNNNNNNNNNNNNNNNNNNNNNNNNNNNNNNNNNNNNNNNNNNNNNNNNNNNNNNNNNNNNNNNNNNNNNNNNNNNNNNNNNNNNNNNNNNNNNNNNNNNNNNNNNNNNNNNNNUCUCUACACUGUGGAGAUCCCAGUCACACAUCACGGCCGUGUAGUAAGCUCGCGCGUCUCUUCUGCCUGCUCUCUCUCUCUCUCCCUGCUCUGCCGGCCAUUAAAUGGAUGCAUGCAUGCAUGCGACCCCUUCUUCAAACUUGGGUAGAACAGCUCAUGAUUGCGUCGCUUGUAGGCUUGCUGCCCGUCGUCUUCUCCGGCCUCUGGACGCCCCUUCCUGCCUCCGCGAUAGGGCGCCCUAAACUGAUUCUUUAGUCCUUUUCCCUUCCAUGAAAGCAGUAUAGUACUCCGUGUUCAUCUACCUGUCCUGCCAUGAUAGAUUGGUACAGUACUGCACCAUCGACGAAAAUGAUUUUUGAGCCUGGCAAGUUACAUGUGGCCGACUAGUGAGUGGACACCACGUAGGCUAAUGAGUGGACACCCUAUCUCUCAU